Molecule: long non-coding RNA, 53904 nt
Filed under: Triticum aestivum (bread wheat)
Lineage: Eukaryota; Viridiplantae; Streptophyta; Magnoliopsida; Poales; Poaceae
Description: long non-coding RNA (TAES_LNC012968)
Source: RNAcentral
CCCCGUUUCCCUUUCCAUCUUCGAUUAGGACGAGGUUACGCACCUUGAAUGAUCGAGCGGCAAUUGCAUGGGUUCAUGUGUGUGCGUGCGCGUGUGUGUGAUUCCCACGACAGUGGUGGUUAUUUGCGAUGUCGCUGCAGGUUUGGAAUGGUGGGAGGCUGCGCAGUUGGUGCAGAACUAUGGGGGAUUUUCGGGUGUCAGCUGUCACGCGUAAAGAUGCAUGGACUUUCAGUCUAACUUGUAGCGUCGGAUUUUAUUUGAAGGGUAAGAAAUCUGAUAUUUUUCAGGGGCUCAAGCUUUGCUGUAGAGUUCUCAACCUAUAUAUGAAAACAUAUUGUUACUCUUGGAGGUGGUCAUCAAUAUUUCACUGCUUGGACCCUUGAUGCCAAUCUUAAAGAGUUGAUCAUAGAUGUCAUUGCAUUGCAGCUGGAAUGUAAGGUUGGAUUCUAAGUGGAGGCAGAUGAGCUACAACUAAGGCACCUUUUCUUAGACCUUCUGAGUUUGAUUUUUUUUUUAAGAUGGUUGCACAUAUAAAUGGUUGCUUUAAUCUGAGAAGUGAUUGUAUUUAAAAAAUGAUCUUAAUUCUUUGUGUUCCGAGUCAUGGUGUGAAACAAUCCUGAACAAUACUACGGACCUCAAUAUCGAGAAUAUUUAUAAGUUGUAUGUGAUGUGUGUAUUUACUGUAGGUGUUUGGUGACGAGAGAUGCGAUGAACAUUCUGAACACAUUACUUGCGAAAAAAAUUGGUUCUUAUGAGGGAUGAACAAUUCUUUGGCAUAUCUGAAAUUUCGAUGGCAAAGUGGCACCGGAGUGUCUUAUUUCUGCACCUUCAGGAGGAAUAUCCUGACACAGAAAUGAAUCUAGCUGGACAUAUUUGCAUGCUCGAACAGCUUCUGCGGAAGGAAAAGGAAAAGCUGGCAAGCGAGCUAAUGGAAAUUGCAAGAGAAAAAACAGAAAAUAAAAGGCAGCAAGAGGAACAUUAGCAAACGCCAAAAGCCAGAGUGACAGCAAUCAAGUCACCAGAUAUGAUAGUGGUCCUUUUAAAGAAACGCUGUUCUGCCUUCCCCUGGGUCUCUGAGCAGAAGCAAGCAGGAGGACAACGAGCAGCGCUCUUCUAUCAUGUAUGUCUUCUUCACUGUAAUGGUAGCAAUAGCACGUUCAUAGGUUGAUGGUAUAUUUUCCUUGUAUCAGUUCUUAAUUUCUUUCUACACAUAAGACUGAAUUCGAAAAGAAUCAAGUGUUGGUCCCUUACUAAAUUUGUGUUUUACAUGUUAAAGCUUCAUUAUCUGAAGCCAUGCUCGCAUGGUAAUUCUUUUUUGAGAUUUUUACAAGUUCCCUAUACGAAGUACUGUAUCCUAAAAAAUACAAUAAAAACAUAUGUGUAAGCAGUGUCACCGUCCUUGCAUCUCCUAUGUUCAGGAGGCCUUCACCUCAUCUGAGGAUGUUGGCGCUCCGUGUCUAUGUGUGUGUUACUUUAUUUUAAUAUUGCAGCUGCACGAUGCUCAAUAUCGAGGUUAUCAUUUGUCGUCGAGGCAACAAAAUGAUUAUACGGAUUGUUUGUUUAUCCAUGUUUCUAUCUGCAAUUUUUUAUAUAAGACUAUUAUUUUUCAUCGAUUUAUUUUUUGCUACCUCCAUGUGAGCAGAGAGAAGGUAUUCGACUUUCAUGGUUCAAAGGACUGAUGUUUUCACUUUUAUUGUCGCACAAAUGGUCUAUCUCUUAUGAACUAAAAGAAAUUUAGGUCCAACAACCAAGCUUAUUUUAUAGCUGCUAUAAAUCAAUUGAGCAGACUAGGAGGUAUUCCAUUAAUUAUCACCUGUGUGGAUGCAAGGAAUUCCAUAAUGAUAUUCCAUAUUCCACUAGAAGAGUACUUCAAGAAAACGACAUUUUUGUUCUUGGAAUUCUGUGCAUAAUAGAAGUUGCUUGCCUUAGAAUGUUGUGAAUUUCUGUUGUGUCCGUUUUUUGCAUGAUCUCUUCACAUGAAUGGGGAUUGAUGCCACAACAAUAUUCUUCACUAUUUGUGUUCUAGCAACCAUUCCUACUAUCGUGUAGUAGUAGUUCUAUUAUUUCAGAGUCCGCCAUCUGUGAGGUGCAUCCUCAAUCACCAGCAGUAUCAUCACACAAUGUUUUUUCUUACUCUUUGUGGUACAUGUUACGCCUUCUUCAUCCGGCAAUAACAUCCUAGGAGUUAUGCUUAUCCACGAGGUUUGCCUUUUCAUCUUCAAAUUUGCGUAGAUUUUCCUUCCCUACAAUCCCAUUGUCUUGCGACGAGCAGCUCUUGGGUAUUUGCUUUGUUCGUAACAUAGUGUUUGUAAUCAUUUUUGGCUUGCUGAUGAUGUUUGCCGCAGUUAAUUUGUUGCAGGUACAAUCGCCAAGUCCUUGGGACUGGAUCUGGGUUUUUCUGGUUCCAGAAUUCCUUGGCAAAGAAUUCCCAAUGAUUGCUAGCCAGGAUAGCUCAGUGGAAUGUCAUAUCCUAUCCAAUAUCCAAAUAUAUGUUAAUAUGGUCGCUUGGGUUCCACGCUUAUGUUUUCUUAAUGAUUCAUGCCAUGCUACUGCCGGCUAUUAUCGUUGUUGUAUAUAUCCUUCAGCUUCUUUAGGUGGUAAAUCCAUAUGUGGAAAUGUAAGCAGACUGUUGCCGUAGUUGUUCCCACAGUCUUAAUGCAUUUCCUAUCUGAUCAAAUGGCAUGUAUAUAGUGUGUAUAAAGCCUGCAAAGGAGAAAUGAUUAUUGACCAUGUCUAGAGUAUGCUUGAUUGUGGGUCUUUUACAAAUUUGGAUAACUUGUUGCUGAUAAUUCAGUAUGAUGUUAAGAACUUCCUUGCAUGAGUUCGAGAAACUGAAUUUGCCAUUCCAUCACAUGUGGACAAAUAUUAAUGCCAUAUAUUAGAUUAUAUCAACAUUACUUCAACCUACAAAGAAUCAAUACAUGAAUUCGAAGUUAGGCAAUUAGGCUUACGAGCUACCUUUUAGAUUAAGCUUCUGUGUAUAAAUGUACUUAACACUUGAAUGCAAAAAGAGCAAAAUAGUAGGGACGAUAAUGCAGUUUUCCUUAGGCAUGGUCCACGUACUUUAUGUUGUUGUUUAUAUAUAUGAUACUAGGGUAUUACUACUUAGUGCUUCUAUGUUCUAUACAUCCAAAAUUUGAUGUAUGAUAUGUCAGAUAUCACUUCAUUAAUUCGUAAUGUUGUUUCUCCGGUUCUAUGUAUUACUUAGUAUGGCUGAGUAAUGCAAUAAGUACUUUAUAACUUUUUGUACGAUUAAAAUUUUAAUCACAAAAUUAAUACCUGUCUUUGCGCACUUUAUUUAUGCAUAAUAUUUAAGAAUACUAUUAUUAUUCUAUCGCAAAAACAGACGGGCGCGGCAACGCGCGCCAUCAACGAUCUAGUAGGGAGAAAAAGGGUACAAGAACCGUCCACCGAGGGUGUUACAACACACCCACACCACCGUACACAAUCCUAGUGGGCCUUCAUAAUUUACACACAACCGACCUCCUCCAGUAGGAAUGGGAGUGUCAGCUCCCCAUUCUCAAAAUCGGAGACCCUGGCCUCAUCUGGCCAGAAGUCAGCCGCCAAACACCCCCCCCCCCACGAGGUUCUUCCGUGAAAAGCUCCUUUAAAAGCAAUAAAUGUGGGAACUAAUUUAAUUCGAGUGCUCGAGGAGUACCUCUCCAUCCUAUAAACAAGGGGUGGAGCACUUCCGCUGCCGUCCAUUAGCGAUGGCUUGGAAGUAGGCGGUAUUAGCGUCCCCUUUUAGGAGCAAUUCUGACCCUCUCUACAUUGCUAGAAGAGCUCCUCACCCUUGAAGAUAUCCAUAGGGGAGGCUUCCAGGUUAUAGCGCAACAUCUAAUCGUCAGCAGAGAGGCCAGAAGUAUCGGCAAUCACAUCCAAAGACUUAAUCUGGUCCAUCAGGGCCCUCUUAUGAGCCCGGAGCUCGGCACCCGGGUUAGCCCUCCAUCCUCGCAUGAAUUGCCGAACUGAUUUUGCACAAUGGUGUCAAAUAUCAACCGCUCAAAACAUCCACGGUGGGGAUGCCACAGCCUCAACCCACCUAAGAUAUACAACGUCCAUAAAACCCAGCUGAAGUAGCCAUGAGGGUUCGAAGUGAAACUGUGACGUCCAAGGAAGGGAGCCUCCCCCGAAGUGAAAAGCAUGGGAGAGUGGUCUGAGCCAAUCCGAGGGACCUCCUUGAGCGAACACAAUGGGAACAUGACCUCCCACUGGAUGACCCGAUCCAGUGGGAGGUCAUGUUUCGUAUACAGCAGAAAGUUCAACGUGUAUUUUUAAAAAAUGUUCACCGUAUAUUGGAAAAAAGUCCAUCUUAUGUUACAUAAACUAAAAAAAAUGUGGAAAGAGAAACUGAGAAAAACCAAAAUCUGAAAAGAAGAAAGAAAACCAAAAAAACAUGAAAUAGCAAAGACUCCUAUCACUCACCUUUCUCCGCGAUGGCCAAGGCCUAAGCAUGGCGACAGAACCCUGUCUUUGCCUGAGAAAUUGAACGACUGUGAACUGUGUGCGAGAUAUAUAACAAAUGGAUUAUUUUUCCUAAAACAAAAGAUCCUUUGGUACUGACCCACCCAAGUACAAAUGAAUUUAUGUCACUAUCUACCAUUCACGUGAUCUACAAAGAGCGAUGGUUUUCUAAUUUGAAAAUGAAUGGCUUAUUUCAUUAUUUUCACUUCCAUGUCUUGGGAGUUAUCCAAUCUCAUCCAGUGUAUUAUUUGCUGCAUCUUUGCAUAUUAGGUAUUUUUGAUAGGCAUAGGCAUUGGGAACCACGGACGGAUAUCCGGUAUUACAACAUGCACCGUUGUUCUUAUCCAUUGUACUCGGCCGCUUCUAGGCACUACUAUCCCUCGUCCACUCAUGCACAGUCAUCCUAUGUGCCAUGCUCUCAUGUCACUCAAGUGAACCAGCAAUCAUAUUUUGGGUGGCUUCCCUGGGAUGGAAUGGCGGUUGGAUAAGCUUCUUCAACAUUAGCAACAAUCAUGAAAAAGGUGGAUCAGAAAAAAAAAUGGCAUUCUCGAUUAUCGAUUCUGGAGCGGCAACACUAGCGGCUUUGAGAGUCACGCAAAGAUGGUGAUUUGUAAUACAUUUAGUAAGCCUAAAUCGCAUGUCAGAUAGUGAUUGGCAAAUUGGUAAGGACAAGUAGAGAGAGCGUAUGGAAUCGUCUCACAAAAGUAAAACUAAAAUUUAAUUAGACAACUCCAUGACCACAAACACUGUAAAUUGUACUUUUGUAAAAUGGUACAACAAUCAUCAGUAAUUUUACGCUCUCACGUGCAAUCAAGCCAAGCGCUACUACGUACCGCACGCGAGCAUUAGCACAUGGUCGCCCACGGAGUUUCAAGUGGGCCAGCCCAACUACUUCCGAUCUUCUUUUUAGAAUUUCUGUGAAUUUAAAAAAAUUUAAGGUUUCAAAAAAUGUUCGUGCACCUAAAAUAUUCUCUAUUAAAACAUCAUGAAUUCAAAAAAGUGUUCAUAAAUUUGAAAAUUUGUUUAUGAAUUAAGAAAAGAGAAAAGAAAACAGAAAACCAUGAGAAUAAAGAAGAAAAACCUUUUGGAACAUUUACAAAACUGAUGGAAGGUUCUAGAGGUUUCCCAAAACCAUGGUGAACCAGUUGCAGAUUACAUAAACAGUAAAAAGAACAACCAGUCUCUAGUGGCCAACUGGCAGGCCCGCCGUGCAGAGCAGAUAGAGGAAGGCAUGCCGACGAGCUCGCUGGAUGUCUUCGAUAACGACCCGACGAUGGUUGUGGCCUCUGACGACGAGCUGGCGCCCCUGCCGUGCCAUUCCAUGCCGACUUGACCAUGGAACAGGCGCAAGCGCACGUUGACGAUGUCAUGGCGGAGGAGCAGCUGGAGCCACAGCUGGUGUCGACAUUCCGGUAGGCGAAGGAGGAGCAACACUACAACCUCGACCUCCUCAGGCAUCACUGACAAGCGGAUGUCUAGAUCUAUGGCGUGUUCGCGGGUGAGGAGGCCGUGACAGCCAUGGCCGUGAAGAACUCGAACUUCGUCGUGGAGCAGCAAGCGCUCUACGAGUCCCCUGCAACGCUCGCGCGACCCGGAUGCCCACGCGGCCGCAGACGCAAAAGCCGCCAGCUCCACGUCCUUUUCAUCGGACCUGCGCACCAUUGGCACCGCUACGAUGGCGAGGCCGACCCGUCCACGUCCAUUGUCGACCUCACCUCCACCGAUGACAGCCAGUGAGUGGACUCUGACAGGAAGAGUAGGGCAUCGGAGACGGCAGCGCCCCGUGUCGCAUGUGGGCCGGUCCAUGUCCCAUGUCCCACUCUUCCUCUCCGGUGACCACACCUUCACUUCUUUGGAACCACGUCUGCUGGACAUCGACACGGAGGGGAACAACAAGGACGUGGAGGCGGGACGUUUUCUGGGGCUCACGGCCACCAACGAGGAUUAGGACCAGGUUAACGUCCGAACGCUUUUGUUUAGUUGAAAUAUUUCGAAAUGUAAUGAGUUUGGUCCGAUUUAUAUGAAAAUCAUCCGAUUUGUUAAAAUCCGGUUUGAAAUGUACAAACAUAGUUGGAUGGCUGGCUCCCAUAUUAUUGACCUCGGAAGCGCCCGCGGAAAAGUACAGUGUCUAUUUUAGGGGACCGCGUUGGAGAUGCCCUUAGUACGGGAGAUGAUGUCCAUGAUGUUGUGAGAACAGGGUGUCACCCUGUUGGUUAGGAUAGCAUGGAGCUAUCUAGACCAUCCGGGUUUGAGUCACGGAGUGACCCGUGUUGCUACCAAAAAUACGAUUUUUCUUCAUGAACUUUGUUAAAAGAGCUUUUGUAUCAGCCCAGAGCAUCAUUUUGGUGCAAAGGAUGGAUAAAGUUGUCACGGUUGCCAACCUACCAAUGGACUAAGAUCACAACUAAGAGAUUCUCAGAAAUUGAAUAAACAGAGUACAAACGAAGUUAUAUCGGCUCCUCUGCCCGAGCCCUUUAUAAGGAGCACCAGAGUAAAAGAUAAAUACCACUGCGAUUUUAAUUCUCUGUUUUGGAAUAUCACAUACCAUCUGUGCAUUAUGUGUUGUGUCUCCAUACAAUAAUUGUUUGGAUCUAAUAGGCUUAGAAGGCAUAGGGUAUUGUCCAUGGAUGAUCAGGUACUACGCUGCGUCGUCGAAAUUCCUACUACCUUGCAAGGCACGCCCGGAGUUCGAGCCAGAGGAGCAGGAAGGGCCCACGAGCCGGAGCUUUUCACCUGACAUGUGUCGUCGAACGUGACGAUGGCGGUCGAUGAGCCGCUUCAAUCUCCGCCUACCCGCUAGAAUGCCACAUAGUGCGGGAACCCACGGGAGGCAUCGCCGCCCCAUGCUGAAUUCCAUUUGCAGGUAUCCACCUCAAAGUUGAAAACAAACAAGCGAACAACGACAUGAAGUCAGAGGUCGAGAGAGCAAGGCUACAGGCGUGCAUCCUUCGUUCCCCGGUGUCGCUUGCUCGCUUGUGCUAUGCAGAGUCUGGAAUGAUAGUGGUAGGUAAUUCAGUAUUGUACCUCGGGCCGUGCCAUCGAUUCGAUUCAUACGAGGCUCAUUACCAUUCCAAUGAUUGGGUCUUUUAUUAUAGCUGAUUUAGAAAGGAAAAAACCGAUUUGUUCUUUUGUCUACAUGUCCAUGGCGCCCGCGACCAAUACAAUGUCGUGCAACACAUGCAAAACUAGCUAUCUAUCAAUCGGAACGAAUUGGUUAGUCUUCUAAUUAGCAGGUAUAAAGUGAAAAUUCAUAGCAUCCUCCAUCCCAGCGCACUCUGUCCUAGGUUCCUAGUCCCAGUUUGGACAAAUAGAAAGAAUGUAUUCCGUAAAUAAAAAGAGGACAGAAUGUGCAUUCCAACGAUGAGAAAGUUUUGGGCUAAUCAAAGUACACUUCUGUUUUGUUACAAUCUCUCUAAACACAUCAACGGAGGAGAUCACUCCAUACCUUUCAUAAUAAAAGGUAGGAUGAUUUUUCUUAAAAAAAAAUAUGUUGCCCACGCCUAGCGUGUCAAUACGCGGCCUGUGUAUGUACCGCCCGUACACGGCGUAUGUGGUAUACCUAAACCCUAUUUAACGCCCUCAACUUUUUUUUCUUUCUUUUUAAUCUUCAAAAAGUAUGAGCUGCAGGAGAUUCAAAAUCCAACCCUCAAAGUUUACUUCAAGUUCAAGUAAUCAAUUGGGACAGGUUACUUGUUGUGCCCACUUGCUUUCUUUUUCGCUUCUUUCAUGGCAAACAUAACUUCGUGAACUUUCAUGCCAGUUUUUUCGUGCUUUUUUAAGCCGGGAUUUGUUCUGUUUUAUUAUGUGUUUUUUCCUUUUUCCUUCUUAUCUUUUUUCUGUUUUUAAUCAAAUUUGUGAACUUUUUCUUAAAUUUGUGAAUGUUUUCAAUUUCUUGAACUCCUUUUGCAACUUUUUAGAGAUCUUUUUUUGAAAUAUUGUGAAAUUUUCAUAUCUGUGAACAUCUUUUUCGAAAUCGAUGAACUUUUUUCAAAUCCACGAGCGCUUGGGCCAGCCCAACAGGCGCCCGACAGGAGCAACGCAGUCGCCUAGUUGGGCCAAGGUCUAAGCGUUUUGUUUCCUCACUUUUUUGUUAAUUCAUAUUUCUCCUUUUUUGUCUAUAUUAUCCAUUUUGAAAUAUGUUUGAAAAUAUGAGAAUUUGUUUGGAAUAUCAUAAAAUGUUGUCGUUAUCAAAUAUUCUCUACAAUUUAAAAAAUAUUACGGAAUUUCAAAAAAUGACCCUGCUUUCGAUUUUUUUGCUCACAAAAUUAAGAAAUGUUUGCGUUUCAAAAAAUGUUGAUAUUUAAAAAAAAAUAUGUGCUUUGAAAUUUGUGUUCAAAAUUUUCAGCAAUUGUUGAUUAUUUGGUUGAGUAUUUGUUAACAAUUUUAGAAUUAGCGAUCAUGUUUGUAAAAUUUCAUAGAAAAUUUGAUUUUCAGAAAUUGUUGACAAAUUUUAAGAAAUGGUUAGGACUUAAGAAAAUGUUCAUGUUGAAUGAUAAGGAUGAAAUUCGCAAAUAACAGAAGCAUUCAAAUUAGAAAAACCUACAUGCUCGUGGAUGCAGUCCUGUGGCCUGGCACAGACAUAUGAGGCAUGAAUGUCUGGUUUGAGUGACUUCUGAUACCGUUUGCACGCUGCGAUACCUUCGGCCAUUUAGCGACCCUUAUCAUCGAGAAAACUUCAAAAAAAAAUGCAAAACUUGUUAAAAAGCCGAACUACUUGCAUUAAUGCCUUUAUAUGGUCAUAGAAGCCGGUGGAAAACUUUGGGCGAUUUGAUAGAUGUCAAACAACAACGUGUGCUUUUGAACGGACCCUUCUCGCCUACCCAAACACUCUCCGUUGAACAUGGUCUAGUUUUGAACAUCCUUGAAAUGACUCCAACUUUUGCAAGUAGAUAGGCAUAUGCCCAUGAUAGGCAUCUAUACCUAGUUUGAAUGAGUUUCGACACUAUAUGCAAGAUCAGCCUUUUUUCACAUUAUAUUACAAAACCACACAAAAAAUGUGGACAGGAAACUAAAAAAACCCAAAUCUGAAAAUAGAAGAAGAAGAAGAAACGAAAAAACCCAAAAUAGCAACAACCCUUAUCACUCACCUUGCUCCGUGAUGGCCAAGGCCUAAGCAUGGUGACAUAAACCUGUCUUGGUCUAAGAAAUUGGCUAUCAGUAAACUGUGUGCGGGAUAUAUAACAAGUGAUAUAACAAAUGGAUUAUUUUUCGUAAAACAAAAGAUCCUUUUGCUACUGACCCACCCAAGUACAAAUGAAUUUAUGUCACUAUCUACCAUUCAUGUGAUCUAUAAAGGGUGAGGGUUUUCUAAUCAUAAGAUGAAUAGUUAUUUCAUUAUUUUCACUUCCAUGCCUUGGAAUUAUCAAAUCUCAUUCCGUGUAUUAUUUGGUGCAUCUUUGCACACUAGAGAUUUUUGACAGGCAUAGCCACAUAGGUAUUGGAGGCACUGGGAACUACCAACGGAUAGCCAAAAUUACAGCGUGCACUGAAGUACUUCCUUAUUCUACUUGGGCACUUCAAGGCUCUACUAUCCCUGUCUUUCUUUUUUGCGGUUACCAUCCCUCGUCCACUCAUGCCCAGUCAUCCUAUACGCCAUAUUCUCACGUCACUCAAGGGAACCAACAAUCAGAUAUUAUGUGGCUUUACUGGUAUGGAAUAGCGGUUGGCUAAGUUUGUUCAACAUUAGCAACAAUGAUCAAAAGAAGGAUCAGAAAAAAAAUGUGGCAUCCUCGGUUAUCGGUUCAGGAGCGGCAACACUGGCGGCUUUUAGAGUCAUGCAAAGAUGUUGAUUUGGCAAGGCCUUUGGGAAGUCCGAAUCGCAUGUUAGAUAGUGAUUGGCAGAUUAGUAUGGACAAGACAGAGAGAGCGUACAGAAUCGUCUCACAAAAGUCAAACUUAAAUUUAAUUAGACAACAACGUGACCACAAACACAACAUAUUAAUUUUGUGAAAUGGUACAACAAUCAUCGGUAAUUUUAAUCGCUCUCACGGGCAAUCAAGCCAAGCGCUGCUAAGUACCGCGAGCAAGCAUUGGCGCAUGGUCACCCACGUGAGCCUAAGGUGGGCCAGCCCAACUGAUUCCAAUCGCCAACCACUUAAAAAAUAAACCAAUGGCUAUGUGCGAGCCUCCCUUUUGCUCAAAAAGAAAACAAAUGCGUGUGUGCCUCCAAGCGAGUGAGCGCAUUUUUUCCAAAAAUAAUUAAACCUUUCGGACGGUUUUAUUUUCAUGAAAAACUGAAUUCGAUUUUUUCAUAAAUUUUGAAGAAUAUUUGUGAAUUCAAAAAUAUUCAUGCAUAUAAUAUUUUUCUCAACUCAAAACACUGUUCACAAAUUUGAAAAGAUGUUCAGGAAUUUUAAAAAACUCCACAAAUUCAAAAAAUGUUCACAAAUUUGAGAAAUGUUCUGAGGUUCAAAAGUAUCCGUGAUUUUGUAAAAAGUUCACCAAUUGAAAAAUAUUUGUGAAUUUUAAAAAUAUUAACAAAAUUUCAAUAGAAUUUUAACAAAAAAGUCAUAAAUUUUCAAAUGCUCAUGAAUUACUAAAAGGUUCACAUAUUUUAAAAAUAUUCAUGAAUACAAAAAAGUUCGUGAAUUUAAAAAGCGCCCAAAAUUUUGAAAAAAGUUCAUCUUUUUGAAAAAUGUUCACAAAAUAGAAAUUGCUGAUGAAUUUGAAUUUAUUUUUGCAACUAUGAAUUUUUAUUUUUCAAAAAAUGUUCACAAAAUUUUAAAAUUUCAGUGAAUUCAAAAUAUUCAAGAUUUCAAAAAAUGCCCGUGCACUUAAAAAAGUUAUCUACUAAAAUAUCACGAAUUCAAAAAGUGUUCAUAAAUUUGAAAAUUUGUUCAUGAAUUAAUAAAGAGAAAAGAAAACAGAAAACCGUGAGAAAAAAAAGAAAAACCUUUGGGAGCCUUCCCAAAACUGAUGGAAGCUUCUAGAGGUUUCCCAAAACCAUGGUGAACCAGUUGCAGAUUACAUAAACUGAAAGAAGAGCAACCAGUCUUUGGCGGCCAACUGGCACGCCCGCCAUGCACAACAGAUAGAGGAAGACCUACCUGCGAGCGCGCCGGAAGUCGCUGAUAACGACCUGAUGAUGGUUGUGGCCUCUGACGAUGAGCUGGCGCCCCUGAACGUGCCAUUUCAUGCCGACUUCACCAGGCGGGACGAGCAGCCCUAUACCACGUGUAGCCACACUCUAGUGUCCUUUUCUACUUAGUUGGACAGAUCACUUCAGAAAAUCGUAUAAAAAUCAAGCAAGAAAACGGAUGCGCUAACGCGCAACGGCUUUCGCGCUAGUUGCUCAAAAAAUCGUAUAAAAAUCAAGCAAGAAAACGGAUGCGCUAACGCGCAACGGCUUUCGCGCUAGUUGCUCAAUCCGUUGCUUGCUUCUCUUCUGUCUUGGAAAAGUGAGGAUUUCCUAUCUGAUCCAAGGGAAGGAAGAGAGGUGGAAAGUGUUGCUGUGUCAAAUCGAGAUUGUGUGGGUGCCCGCUCAUGUUCGACGCUAUCGAAAAUCAUGCAUUGGAUGGACGCCCGGGCAUUGAGAAGGAAGGACGCUUUCAGAGGCGAAAGGCCAUGGGGAGAGAUUUUUCUGUGAUCCAUGGAUCUCCGAUCGGGAAACCGUAUCCAAGACCAUGGAACAAGCGCAUGCGCACUUCGACGAUGUCAUGGCAGAGGAGCAGCCGGCGCAGUGGCCGGUGUUGGCAUUCCGGUAGGCGAAGGGGAGCAACGCUAGAACCUCGACCUCCUCAUGCAUCACCGGCAAGCGGAUGGAUAGAUCUACGGCGAGUUCGCAGCAUAGUUUAAAUGACCUUACCGGACCGGCGGUCAGACCAGGAAAAACCGGAACCAGCAAUCCCAACGGUUUUUUAAGCGUAGCGGACCGUCCCGCAAUGGCGCAAUCGAACUGAAAAAAACUGGUCGAACCGGCCGGUUUAAAAAAAACCGAUAACUCGACAGUUCAAAGACAACUGGCGGUUCGAUGUAGAUUCCAGAAAAGACCCUCGAUCGACUCGUUUUUGUGCGUACGAGCUGAGGGUAGAAUCGGUAAAGAAAAAAACUAUUUUGGUAGGUUUUCGGUCUAUUGGGAGCUUUCUCUCUCGAUAUAUUGUUGUUUGGUGUAUUUAUUAGUAGUAUAUAUUAUUUUAUCUACUAAUUGGUGUAUUUAUUGAUAAAAUAUAUAUUAUUUUAUUCUUAAAAACCAACAACCGAAUCGGCGGCCCGACCAGUAAAAACCUGAACCGACAUGUUGCUACUUCAAUUACUGGUCUAGUUUUUCAAAUUAUGGUUCGCGGGUGAGGAGGCCACCUUAUUUCUCAUUUUACUUCUCUAUUUUGGAAAUCACAUUGGAUGCAAUAUGUGUUGUUUCUCUGUGCAAUAGCGACUCAAAAUAUAUUAGGCAUAGACGUCAUUAGAAAUUGUCCAUGGAUAUCAGGUACUACGCUACCUUGUGGAAAUUCCUACUGCCUUGCAAGGCACAUCCGGAGUUCAAGCCAGAGGAGCCGGAAGGGCCCAGGAGCCAUAGAAUUUCGUCCGACAUGUGUUAUCAAACGUGAUGACGGCGGUCGACCAGCUGCUUCAAUCUCCGCCUAUCCGCGGGAAUGCCACACAAUACGGGAACCCGCCCCAUGCUGGAUUCCGUUUGCAUGUACCUGCCUCGCGGUUGAAAACAAACAAGUGAACAACGGCAUCAAGAAAGAAGUUGAGAGAGCAAGGCUAGACGCAUGCAUCCUUCGUCUCUCUUUGCCGAUUUGUCGGUGCAGCUUCCUUACUGGCUUUUGCUAUGGCGAGUAGGGGACAAUCGAUAUUGUACCUGGGAUCGUGCCAUUGAUUCGAUUAAGACCAGACUCAUUAGCGUUCCAAAUUACAAAUGAUUUGAAACUUUUACAGUUUUACUAUAGCUGGUUUACAAAGAAAAUAAACAAUUUGUUAUUUAGUCGAACACAAACUAGCCAAUAUCACCAUGUAUAUUGUCCAUGACGACCACACAAUGCCGUGCAACACAUGCAGCUAGUUGGUUGCCAAUCGUCUCGCCCUGGUUAGUGUGCUAAUUAGCACUUAUAAAGUCUUGCAUACCACUUCUUCGGUCAGGCGUGCAGCCGUCACUGAUUCCAGUUGGGCCAACGUCUUUUCGGAUGGGUGCCUAGCUUAUGCUAGGUCUAGAACUUGAUCAGACUUGCCCACGGACUACGUGUCGCCACUAUCUUUUCUAGGUUGUGGCAUGCAUGUGGCAGCAAGAUCUAUCGCCACCACGCGCCCACUAGCCACUUACCGCGGGUGAAUGUGGCAAAAAUAUUUGAAAGCUCACUUGGAUUAGCGGGUUCUACCCUGUUUGUGCCACCAGUGAAAGUCGGUGCCACGUUGAACCCAUCCCAACAAGUUCCAUCAUCUUUGGAUCCAGUAAAAAGGCCAAGGAGUCCGACCAGCUAGCAGUAGUGAUUACGCUUGGUGGUAUUCCGGACCAGGCCUCCUUUGUGGUGUGCGACUAAAGAAGAGUACACAAUAACUGGAUGCAGAUACUAAUUCGGCAACCUGUGCUUACCAUCACGCCACGAUGCGCAACAUUGAUAGCUCGCAUGUUAUCUUCAAGGCUGCCACUUGGACCCAUAAGGAUGAGUGGGCAUCUCUUUGGGUUCAAUCAAUGGGAGAUUUGGGUGGCAACCCAAUAGUAGGAUUUUUUUGACAGUAAACCCAACAAUAGGAUAUGUUAUACAUGAGGGUUCAUUUAUUUCCUACACGUAUUUAGUCCUUGCCUUAUGGACUGCCAUGUGUGCCUUUUGUUUUGAUUACACUUGUAUCAGAUCUUAUAAACAUUGCAAUAAUUAAUGGAUGGUUGUGUGCAUCAGUCGAUGUAGAGCCCGAGUGUUUUCCUCUCUUCUAAACAUAGUUCUUGCAAAUAGGCAAUCCAAACAAAAUUAAGGACCAAAACAGGUCAAAUCCCACCAAAUCAAGACGUCAAAACAGAACCCCCCUUCCCCUGCCCCCAAGAAAAAAACAGAAUCAAAUUGGCAUGAUUUUCAUUAAAUUUUAUGGCUUGUCUUGCUUAAUAUUGUUAUAUAAAUCUAUAAUCCUGAUGUAACUUGUACAUAUAUGGGUCGGACAUACCUCAACAGUAAAUGAUUGAAACACCCCUGGGAGCCACGAGACUCUGUGAAUCUGACUUCUAUUAUUCUAUAUGACUUUUGCCUGCUCUGGAAUACAUUUUCAAGCACCAUAUGCUUGAUUUGUCCCCAAUUUGUUCAGUUGUGAUUCAUGUAAAAGAAUCUACUAACAUGGAGAAUGUUCAUCUAGUGGUGCCUACAUGUCUAAAGGUAGCUUAAGUAAAGCAACUACUCGUUCCCUGAUUUAUGAUACCAUCUUCAAUUCUUAUAGAUAAGGUGGAUCGUCAUGUGUAAUAUGUUUGCUACUUCUACCAACUGCACCAUAUCCCUUUGCGCUGAAACAUGACACUACUACAACGGGGAUCCUCACAAAAUCUGCAAAGUUACCAAAAAAAAAAUCUCUGAUCAUUCCCCAAGCAUAUCAAUUGGUUAUCUAACCAAUAACACUUUUUAGGUAUUUGAGUUGUACGAUAACUGACGAAUCAAGAUUAUAGCCUGUUGGUCUCGAUUUACAUGAAGCGGAGAGACUGCAGUACAUGAUUCCUCUGAACAUGUGAUUUGGGGCCUUCCUGGCCCACAACAUAGAGUUCUUUGUUAAAGACAACAUUGUUUUUGUCAAGACUCCAGAAGGCACCUUGACAAGCAAAAUUCUUUCAUCGGAGUGACCUCCAUUCUGGCAUUUCAUGUCGAGGAUAAUAAAUUGCCCUCACGUGACAUCAUGAAGACUUUGGCUUCUAAGGCGUGGGGCUUCAUCAUUCACACACGGCCGGCCUCCUCCAUCAGGAAUGGGAGUGUCAACUCCCCAUUCUCAAAGUCGGAGACCCUGGUCUCAACUGGCCAGAAGUCAGCCGCCAAAGAACCCCCCCCCCACAAGGUUCUAUCGUGAAAAGCUCAUUUUAAAGCAAAGAUGUGGGAACUAAUCUCAUUCGGGUGCUCGAGGAGUAACUCUCCAUCCUAUAAACAAGGGAUGGAGCACUUCCGCUACCGUCCAUUAGCGAUGGCUUGGAAGUAGGCGGUAUUAACGUCCCCUUUUAGGAGAAAUUCUAACCCCCUCUACAUUGCUAGAAGAGCUCCUCACCCUUGAAGAUAUCCAUAAGGGAGGCUUCCAGGUUAUAGGGCAACAUCUAAUCGUUAGCAGAGAGACCAGAACUAUUGGCAAUCACAAACAGAGACUUAAUCUGGUCCAUUAGGGCCCCCUUACGGGCCCAGAGCUCGGCACCCGGGUUGGCCCUCCAUCCUCGCAUGAAUUGCCAAACCGAUUUUGCACAAUGGUGCCAAAUAUAAACUGCACAAAACGUCCGCGGUGGGGAUGCCUCAGCCACGACCCACCUAAGAUGUGCAUCGUCUAUAAAACCCAGCUGAAGUAGGCAUGAGGGUUCGAAGUGAAGUUGUGACGUCCUAAGAAGGGAGCCCUUCCCCGAAGUGAAAAGUAGGGGAGAGUGGUCUGAGCCAAUCCGAGUGACCGCCUUGAGCUAACACAAUGGGAACAUGACCUCCCACUGGAUGGACACGAGGACCCGAUCCCAGUGGGAGGUCAUGUUCAUCGUAUACACCAAAAAGUUCAGUGUGUAUUUAAAAAAAAUGUUCACCAUAUAUUGGAAAAAGUUCAUCGUAUGUUACAUAAACUACACAAAAAUGUGGAAAGAGAAACGAAGAAAAACCAAAAUCUGAAAAGAGAAAGGAAACAAAAAAAACAUGAAAAAGCAAUGACCCCUAUCACUCACCUUUCUCCGUGAUGGCCAAGGCCUAAGCACGGCGACACAACCCUGUCUUAGCCACAGUGAAUGUGUGCGGGAUACAUAACAAAUGUAUUAUUUUUCCUAAAACAAAUGAUCCUUUGCUACUGACCCACCCAAGUACAAAUGAAUUUAUGUCGCUAUCUACUAUUCACGUGAUCUAUAAAGAGAGAGGGUUUUCUAAUCAGAAGAUGAAUAUCUGAUUUCAUUAUUUUCACUUCCAUGUCUUGGAGUUAUCCAAUCUCAUCCAGUGUAUUAUUUGCUGCAUCUUUGCACAGUAGAUAUUUUAGAUAGGCAUAGGCAUUGGAGGCAUUGGGAACUACUGACUGAUAUCCGGUAUUACAGCAGGCACCUCCGUUCUUCUCCAUUCUACUCGAUUACUUCAAGGCAGUACUAUCCCUCGCCGCCUCACGCCCAGUCAUCCUAUACGCUAUCCUCUCACGUCACUCAAGGGAACCAGCAAUCACAUUUUGGGUGUCUUCCCUUAGUAAGCCUGAAACGUUUGUCAGAUAGUGAUUGACAGAUUGGUAAGGACAAACAAAGAGAGCAUAUGGAGUCGUCUCACAAAAGUAAAACUAAAAUUUAAUUAGACAACCCCAUGACCACAAACACUACAAAUUGUACUUUUGUAAAAUGGUACAACAGUCAUCAGUAAUUUUAAUCGCUCUCAUGUGCAAUCAAGCUAACCGUUGCUAUGUACCGCGCGCGAGUAUUAGCACAUGGCCGCCCAUGUGAGUUUCAGGUGGGCCAGCCCAACUACUUCCGAUAUUUUUUUCAAGAAUUUUUGCGAAUUUAAAAAUAUUCAAGAUUUCAGAAAAUGUUCAUGCACUUAAAAUUGUUCUCUAUUAAAAAUAUCAAGAAGCCAAAAAGUUUUCAUAAAUUUGAAAAAUUGUUCAUGAAUUUAGAAAAGAUAAAAGAAAACAGAAAACAGUGAGAAAAAAGAAGAGGAAAAACCUAGUGGAACCUUUCCAAAGCCGACAGAAGGUUCUAGAGGUUUCCCAAAACCAUGGUGAACCAGUUGCAGAUUACAUAAACAGAAAAAGAACAACCAGUCUGGCGGCCAAUAGGCAUACCCGCCGUGCGCAACAGAUAGAGGCAGGCCUGCCGACGAGCUCGCUGAAGGUCUCUGAUAACGACCCGACGAUGGUUGUGGCCUCCGACGACGAGCUGGUGCCCCUGCCCGUGCCAUUCCAUGACAACUUGAGCAUGGAACUGGCGCAAGCGUACUUUGACGAUGUCAUGGCGGAGGAGUAGCCGGCGCCGCAGUCGGUGUGGGUAUUCCGGUUGGUGAAGGUGGAGCAACGCUACAACCUCGACCUCCUCACGCAUCAUCGGCAGGCAGAUGGCUAGCUCUACGGCGAGUUCGCGGGUGUGGUGGCCGUGGUGGCCAUGGCCAUGGAGAACUCCAAUUUCGUCAUCAAGCAGCAGGCGCUCUACGAGGCUUGUGCAACGCUCGCGCGCCUCGGAUGCCCAGGCAGCCGCUGGCGCGAAAGCCACCAGCUCCACGUCCUUUUGGUCGAAGAUGCGCGCCAUUGGCACCGUUACGACGAUGAGGCUGGCCCAUCCACGUCCAUCGUCGACCUCACCUCCACCAAUGACCGCCAGGGAGCGGACUCCGACAGGAAGGGUAGGGCAUCAGCCACGGCGAUGCCUUGUGUCUCAUGUCGACUAGUCCAUGUCGCAUGUCCCACUCUUCGUCGCCGGUGACCACACCUUCACUUCCUGUGGCUCACGGCCGCCGGACAUCGACACGGAGGGGAACAACAAGGACGUGGAGGCCGAAUGUUUUUUGGGGCUCACGGCCACCGACGAGGAUUUUAACUAGGUUAACUUCCGGAUGCUUUUGCUCGGUUGAAAUAUAUUGAAAUGUAAUGAGUUUGGUCCGGUUUAAAUAAAAAUCAUCUGGUUUGUUAAAAUCGGGUUUAAAAUGUAUACAAGCAUGGUUGGAUGGCCAGCUCCCAUAUCAUUGACCGCGGAUGUGCCCGUGGAAAAAUAUAGUGUCCGUUUUAGCGGUCCGCGUUGGAGAUGCUCUUAAUACGGGAGAUGAUAUCCAUGUUGUUAUGGUGGGCAUUGUUUGAUCAUGUGUCUUGUGAAUAAAAAUUUCAUUGGAGAUAGGUGCUUCAAUCAUGUUCAAUUGCCCACGCUUAACUUUAAAAAAAGGACGAACGACGUAAAUGCAAAUCUAAACUUCACAUGAUACCAAAAUGGUUUUCUUUCGUAAACUUUGUUACAAGGACUAUUGUACUGGCCUAGAGCAUCAUUUUGGUGCAAAUGAUGGAUAAAGUUGUAACAGUUGCUGACCUACCAGAGGACUAAGAUCACAGUUAAGAAAUUCUCAGAAAUUGAAUAAACAGAGUACAAACGAAUUCAUAUCGGCUCCUACGGCCCCAGCCCUUUAUAAGGAGCAUCCGGGUACAAGAUAAACACCACCUUAUUUGUCAUUUCAAUUCUCUGUUUUGGAAUAUCACAUACAAUAAUUGUUUGGAUCUAAUAGGCUUAGAGCAUCUCUAGCCGUUGGCCCCCCAGGAGGCAUAAAAAUCGCCGCCUAAGGGCGAGCCGGCGGUAGAAUCGUCGCUGGGGCGGUUGGGCAUCCAGCCGUCGCCCCCAGGUCACCCCCAGGCGCCAAUAUCGGCCCAUUCGCGGCCGCUUUUCGGCCCAGAUAAAUAGAAAAAUGGCCCGAUAUCGGCGAGAAACGGCCCAUAUUCGGCGUGGUUCGGUGUGGUUCAGCGUUGAAUUCUCAACAUAAAUAAUUGUUUUAUCACAUAGUUCAUCACAGAAAAUCAAAUAAUUUAACAAAAUAGUGCAACAACAAAUAGUUCAAUACAAGUUAUAUAGUUCAACAAAUAAAAACUCAUCACACGUCGAGCUAGGCGUCGCCCUUGAUCCUCCAUAGGUGCUCCACCAGAUCCUGCUGCAGUUGAUGAUGCACUUGUGGGUCUCGGAUCUCCUGACGUAUACUGAGGUAGGCAGUCCAGGUUGCCGGUAGCUGGUGAUCAACUUCGGCUAGAGGACCCUGCCUGUAGUAUGGUUCAGUGUCAAACACUGGCUCUUCCUGCUCGCUCUCGAUGAUCAUGUUGUGCAAGAUGGCACAGCAAGUCAUGAUCUCCCACAUUUGAUCUUUCGACCAGGUCUGAGAGGGGUACCGGACAAGAGCAAAUCGAGAUUGGAGCACACCAAAUGCCCGCUCGACAUCCUUCCUGCAAGCCUCCUGCACCUUGGCAAAGUGGGACUUCUUGUUGGGGAUCGUAGCAGAAAUUAAAAAAUUUCUACGCAUCACCAAGAUCAAUCUAUGGAGUCAUCUAGCAACGAGAGAGAGGAGUGCAUCUACAUACCCUUGCAGAUCGCGAGCGGAAGCGUUCAAGUGAACGGGAUUGAUGGAGUCGUACUCGUCGUGAUCCAAAUCACCGGUGACCGAGCGCCGAAUGGACGGCACCUCCGCGUUCAACACAUGUACGGCUGGGAAGACAUCUCCUCCUUCUUGAUCCAGCAAGGGGGAAUGAGAGGUUGAUGGAGAUCCAGCAGCACGACGGCGUGGUGGUGGAAGUAGCGGGGAUCUCGGCAGGGCUUCGCCAAGCUCAGCGAGAGGGAGAGGGAGGCGCCAGGGGCUUGGGUGCGGCUGCCCUCCCCCCAUCUUUAUAUAGGGCCCCUGGGGGGGCGACGGCCAAAUGGGUGGCUUGCCCCCCAAGCCAAGUGGGGCGCCCCCACCCCUAGGGUUUCCAACCCUAGGCGCAGGGGAAGGCCCAAGGGGGGCGCACCAGCCCACCAGGGGCUGGUUCCCCUCCCACUUCAGCUCAUGGGGCCCUCCGGGAUAGGUGGCCCCACCCGGUGGACCCCCGGGACCCUUCCGGUGGUCCCGGUACAAUACCGGUGACCCCCGAAACUUUCCCGGUGGCCGAAACUGGACUUCCUAUAUACAAUUCUUCACCUCUGGACCAUUCCGGAACUCCUCGUGACGUCCGGGAUCUCAUCCGGGACUCCGAACAACUUUCGGAUUUCCGCAUACUAAUAUCUCUACAACCCUAGCGUCACCGAACCUUAAGUGUGUAGACUCUACGGGUUCGGGAGACAUGCAGACAUGACUGAGACGACUCUCCGGUCAAUAACCAACAGCGGGAUCUGGAUACCCAUGUUGGCUCCCACAUGUUCCACGAUGAUCUCAUCGGAUGAACCACGAUGUCGAGGAUUCAAUCAAUCCCGUAUACAAUUCCCUUUGUCAAUCGGUACGUUACUUGCCCGAGAUUCGAUCGUCGGUAUCCCAAUACCUUGUUCAAUCUCGUUACCGGCAAGUCACUUUACUCGUACCGUAAUGCAUGAUCCCGUGACCAAACACUUGGUCACAUUGAGCUCAUUAUGAUGAUGCAUUACCGAGUGGGCCCAGAGAUACCUCUCCGUCAUACGGAGUGACAAAUCCCAGUCUCGAUUCGUGCCAACCCAACAGACACUUUCGGAGAUACCCGUAGUGCACCUUUAUAGCCACCCAGUUACGUUGUGAUGUUUGGCACACCCAAAGCACUCCUAUGGUAUCCGGGAGUUGCACAAUCUCAUGGUCUAAGGAAAUGAUACUUGACAUUUGGAAAAGCUCUAGCAAACGAACUACACGAUCUUGUGCUAUGCUUAGGAUUGGGUCUUGUCCAUCACAUCAUUCUCCUAAUGAUGUGAUCCCGUUAUCAAUGACAUCCAAUGUCCAUAGUCAGGAAACCAUGACUAUCUGUUGAUCAACGAGCUAGUCAACUAGAGGCUUACUAGGGACACGUUGUGGUCUAUGUAUUCACACAUGUAUUACGAUUUCCGGAUAACACAAUUAUAGCAUGAACAAUAGACAAUUAUCAUGAACAAGGAAAUAUAAUAAUAACCAUUUUAUUAUUGCCUCUAGGGCAUAUUUCCAACAGUCUCCCACUUGCACUAGAGUCAAUAAUCUAGUUACAUUGUGAUGAAUCGAACACCCAUAGAGUGCUUGUGUUGAUCGUGUUUUGCUCUAGGGAGGGGUUUAGUCAACGGAUCUGCUACAUUCAGGUCCGUAUGUACUUUACAAAUAUCUAUGUCUCCAUUUUCAACAUUUUCACAAAUGGAGUUGAAGUGAUGCUUGAUAUGCCUGGUCUUCCUGCGAAACCUGGGCUCCUUGGCAAGGGCAAUAGCUCCAGUGUUGUCACAGAAGAGAGUCAUCGGUCCCGACGCGUUGGGAAUCACCCCUAGGUCGGUAAUGAACUCCUUUAUCCAGAUUGCUUCCUGUGCUGCCUCUGAGGCCGCCAUGUACUCCGCUUCACAUGUAGAUCCCGCCAUGACGCUUUGCUUGCAACCGCACCAGCUUACUGCCCCUCCAUUCAAAAUAUACACGUAUCCGGUUUGUGACUUUGAGUCAUCCAGAUCUGUGUCGAAGCUAGCGUCGACGUAACCCUUUACGACGAGCUCUUUGUCACCUCCAUAAACGAGAAACAUAUCCUUAGUCCUCUUCAGGUACUUCAGGAUAUUCUUGACCGCUGUCCAGUGUUCCAUGCCGGGAUUACUUUGGUACCUUCCUACCAAACUUACGGCAAGGUUUACAUCAGGUCUGGUACACAGCAUGGCAUACAUAAUAGACCCUAUGGCCGAGGCAUAGGGGAUGACACUCAUCUUUUCUCUAUCUUCUGCCGUGGUCGGGCAUUGAGCCGUGCUCAAUUGCACACCUUGCAAUACAGGCAAGAACCCCUUCUUGGACUGAUCCAUAUUGAACUUCUUCAAUAUCUUGUCAAGGUACGUACUCUGUGAAAGACCAAUGAGGCGUAUUGAUCUAUCUCUAUAGAUCUUGAUGCCUAAUAUAUAAGCAGCUUCUCCAAGGUCCUUCAUUGAAAAACACUUAUUCAAAUAGGCCUUUAUACUUUCCAAGAAUUCUAUAUCAUUUCCCAUCAAUAGUAUGUCAUCCACAUAUAAUAAGAGAAAUGCUACAGAGCUCCCACUCACUUUCUUGUAAACACAGGCUUCUCCAUAAGUCUGUGUAAACCCAAACGCUUUGAUCAUCUCAUCAAAACGAAUGUUCCAACUCCGAGAUGCUUGCACCAGCCCAUAGAUGGAGCGCUGGAGCUUGCAUACCUUGUUAGCAUUCUUACGAUCGACAAAACCUUCCGGCUGCAUCAUAUACAAUUCUUCCUUAAGAAAGCCGUUAAGGAAUGCCGUUUUGACGUCCAUUUGCCAUAUCUCAUAAUCAUAGAAUGCGGCAAUUGCUAACAUGAUUCGGACGGACUUCAGCUUCGCUACGGGUGAGAAAGUCUCAUCGUAGUCAACCCCUUGAACUUGUCGAUAACCCUUAGUGACAAGUCGAGUCUUAUAGAUGGUCACAUUACCAUCCGCGUCUGUCUUCUUCUUAAAGAUCCAUUUAUUUUCUAUGGCUCGCCGAUCAUCGGGCAAGUCAGUCAAAGUCCAUACUUCGUUUUCAUACAUGGAUCCUAUCUCGGAUUUCAUGGCUUCUAGCCAUUUGUCAGAAUCUGGGCCCGCCAUUGCUUCUUCAUAGUUCGAAGGUUCAUCGUUGUCUGACAACAUGAUUUCCAAGACAGGGUUGCCGUACCACUCUGGCGCGGAACGUGUCCUUGUGGACCUACGAAGUUCAGUAGGAGCUUGAUACGAAGUACCUUGAUCAUCAUUAUCAUUAACUUCCUCUCUAGUCGGUGCAUGCACCACAGGAACAUUUUCCUGAGCUGCGCUACUUUCCGCUUCAAGAGGCAGUACUUCAUCAAGCUCUACCUUCCUCCCACCUACUUCUUUCGAGAGAAACUCUUUCUCCAGAAAGGAUCCGUUCUUAGCAACAAAGAUCUUGCCUUCGGAUCUGAGGUAGAAGGUAUACCCAAUGGUUUCCUUAGGGUAUCCUAUGAAGACGCAUUUCUCCGACUUGGGUUCGAGCUUUUCAGGUUGAAGUUUCUUGACAUAAGCAUCGCAUCCCCAAACUUUUAGAAACGACAGCUUAGGUUUCUUCCCAAACCAUAAUUCAUACGGUGUCGUCUCAACGGAUUUCGACGGAGCCCUAUUUAAAGUGAAUGCGCCAGUCUCUAAAGCAUAGCCCCAAAAUGAGAGCGGUAGAUCGGUAAGAGACAUCAUAGAUCGCACCAUAUCCAAUAGAGUGCGAUUACGAUGUUCGGACACACCAUUUCGCUGAGGUGUUCCAGGCGGCGUGAGUUGUGAAACAAUUCCACAUUUCCUUAAGUGUGUGCCAAAUUCGUGACUCAAAUAUUCCCCUCCACGAUCUGAUCGAAAGAACUUUAUUUUUCUGUCACGUUGAUUCUCAACCUCACUCUGAAAUUCCUUGAACUUUUCAAAGGUCUCAGACCUGUGUUUCAUUAGGUAGACAUACCCAUAUCUACUCAAGUCAUCAGUGAGAGUGAGAACAUAACGAUAGCCACCUGGAGCCUCAACACUCAUUGGACCGCACACAUCAGUAUGUAUGAUUUCCAAUAAGUUGGUUGCUCGCUCCAUUGUUCCGAAGAACGGAGUCUUGGUCAUCUUACCCAUGAGGCAUGGUUCGCACGUGUCAAAUGAUUCGUAAUCAAGAGACUCCAAAAGUCCAUCUGCAUGGAGCUUCUUCAUGCGUUUGGCAUCAAUGUGUCCAAGACGGCAGUGCCACAAGUAUGUGGGACUAUCAUUAUCAACCUUACAUCUUUUGGUAUUCACACUAUGAAUAUGUGUAACACUACGUUCGAGAUUCAUUAAGAAUAAACCAUUAACCAGCGGGGCAUGGCCAUAAAACAUAUCUCUCAUAUAAAUAGAACAAUCAUUAUUCUCGGAUUUAAAUGAGUAGCCAUCUCAAAUUAAACGAGAUCCUGAUACAAUGUUCAUGCUCAAAGCUGGCACUAAAUAACAAUUAUUGAGGUUUAAAACUAAUCCCGUAGGUAAAUGUAGAGGUAGCGUGCCGACGGCGAUCACAUCGACCUUGGAACCAUUCCCGUCGCGCAUCGUCACCUCGUCCUUUGCCAGUCUCCGUUUAUUCCGCAGCUCAUGCUUUGAGUUACAAAUAUGAGCAACCGCACCGGUAUCAAAUACCCAGGAGCUACUACGAGUGUUGGUAAGGUACACAUCAAUAACAUGUAUAUCACAUAUACCUUUGGUGUUGCCGGCCUUCUUGUCCGCCAAGUACUUGGGGCAGUUCCGCUUCCAGUGACCACUUCCCUUGCAAUAAAAGCACUCAGUCUCAGGCUUGGGUCCAUUCUUUGGCUUCUUCCCGGCAACUGGCUUACCGGGCGCGACAACUCCCUUGCCAUCCUUCUUGAAGUUCUUCUUACCCUUGCCUUUCUUGAACUUAGUGGUUUUAUUCACCAUCAACACUUGAUGUUCCUUUUUGAUCUCCACCUCCGCUGAUUUCAGCAUUGAAUAUACCUCAGGAAUGGUCUUUUCCAUCCCCUGCAUAUUGAAGUUCAUCACAAAGCUCUUGUAGCUCGGUGGAAGCGACUGAAGGAUUCUGUCAAUGACUGCGUCAUCCGGGAGAUUAACUCCCAGCUGAGUUAAGCAGUUGUGUAACCCAGACAUUCUGAGUAUGUGCUCACUGACAGAACUAUUUUCCUCCAUCUUACAACUGAAGAACUUGUCGGAGAGUUCAUAUCUCUCGACCCGGGCAUGAGCUUGGAAAACCAUUUUCAGCUCUUCGAACAUCUCAUAUGCUCCGUGUUGCUCAAAACGCUUUUGGAGCCCCGAUUCUAAGCUGUAAAGCAUGCCGCACUGAACGAGGGAGUAAUCAUUAGCACGCUGCUGCCAAGCGUUCAUAACGUCUUGGUUCUCUGGGAUGGGUGCGUCACCUAGCGGUGCUUCUAGGACAUAAUCUUUCUUGGCAGCUAUGAGGAUGAUCCUCAGGUUCCGGACCCAGUCCGUAUAGUUGCUGCCAUCAUCUUUCAGCUUGGUUUUCUCUAGGAACGUGUUGAAGUUGAGGGCAACAUUAGCGUGGGCCAUUUGAUCUACAAGACAUAUUGUAAAGAUUUUAGACUAAUUUCAUGAUAAUUAAGUUCAUCUAAUCAAAUUAUUCAAUGAACUCCCACUCAGAUAGACAUCCCUCUAGUCAUCUAAGUGAAACAUGAUCCGAGUCAACUAGGCCGUGUCCGAUCAUCACGUGAGACGGACUAGUCAACAUCGGUGAACAUCUUCAUGUUGAUCGUAUCUUCUGUACGACUCAUGCUCGACCUUUCGGUCUUCCGUGUUCCGAGGCCAUGUCUGUACAUGCUAGGCUCGUCAAGUCAACCUAAGUGUAUUGCGUGUGUAAAUCUGGCUUACACCCGUUGUAUUCGAACGUUAGAAUCUAUCACACCCGAUCAUCACGUGGUGCUUCGAAACAACGAACCUUCGCAACGGUGCAUAGUUAGGGGGAACACUUUCUUGAAAUUAUUGCGAGGGAUCAUCUUAUUUAAGCUACCGUCGUUCUAAGCAAAUAAGAUGUAAAACAUGAUAAACAUCACAUGCAAUCAAAUAGUGACAUGAUAUGGCCAAUAUCAUUUUGCUCCUUUUGAUCUCCAUCUUCGGGGCGCCAUGAUCAUCUUCGUCACCGGCAUGACACCAUGAUCUCCAUCAUCAUGAUCUCCAUUAUCGUGUCUUCAUGAAGUUGUCACGCCAAUGAUUACUUCUACUUCUAUGGCUAACGUGUUUAGCAAUAAAGUAAAGUAAUUUGCAUGGCGUUAUUCAAUGACACGGAGGUCAUACAAAAAUAAAGACAACUCCUAUGGCUCCUGCCAGUUGUCAUACUCAUCGACAUGGAAGUCGUGAUUCCUAUUACAAGAACAUGAUCAAUCUCAUACAUCACAUAUAUUUCAUUCAUCACAUCCUUUUGGCCAUAUCACAUGACAAGGCAUAUGCUGCAAAAACAAGUUAGACGUCCUCUAAUUGUUGUUGCAUGUUUUUACGUGGCUUCUAUAGGUUUCUAGCAAGAACGUUUCUUACCUACGUAAAACCACAACGUGAUAUGCCAAUUUCUAUUUACCCUUCAUAAGGACCCUUUUCAUCGAAUCCGAUCCGACUAAAGUGGGAGAGACAGACACCCGCUAGCCACCUUAUGCAACUAGUGCAUGUCAGUCGGUGGAACCUGUCUCACGUAAGCGUACGUGUAAGGUCGGUCCGGGCCGCUUCAUCCCACGAUGCCGCCGAAACAAGAUAAGACUAGUAGUGGCAAGAAAAUUGACAACAUCUACGCCCACAACAAGUUUGUGUUCUACUCGUGCAUAGAAACUACGCAUAGACCUAGCUCAUGAUGCCACUGUUGGGGAUCGUAGCAGAAAUUAAAAAAUUUCUACGCAUCACCAAGAUCAAUCUAUGGAGUCAUCUAGCAACAAGAGAGAGGAGUGCAUCUACAUGCCCUUGUAUAUCGCGAGCGGAAGCGUUCAAGUGAACGGGGUUGAUGGAGUCGUACUCGUCGUGAUCGAAAUCACCGAUGACCGAGCGCCGAACAGACGGCACCUCCGCGUUCAACACACGUACGGUUGGGAAGACGUCUCCUCCUUCUUGAUCCAGCAAGGGGGAAGGAGUGGUUGAUGGAGAUCCAGCAGCACGACGGCGUGGUGGUGGAAGUAGCGGGGAUCUCGGCAGGGCUUCGGCAAGCUCAGCGAGAGGGAGAGGUGUCACGGGAGGGAGAGGGAGGCGCCAGGGGCUUGGGUGCGGCUGCCCUCCCUCCCCCCUCUUUAUAUAGGGCCCCUCGGGGGGCGCCGGCCCUAGGAGAUCCCAUAUCCAAGGGGGGGGCGGCCAAGGGGGUGGCUUGCCCCCAAGCCAAGUGGGGCGCCCCCACCCCUAGGGUUUCCAACCCUAGGCGCAGGGGAAGGCCCAAGGGGGGCGCACCAGCCCACCAGGGGCUGGUUCCCCUCCCACUUCAGCCCAUGGGGCCCUCCGGGAUAGGUGGCCCCACCCGGUGGACCCCCGGGACCCUUCCGGUGGUCCCGGUACAAUACCGGUGACCCCCGAAACUUUCCCGGUGGCCGAAACUGGACUUCCUAUAUACAAUUCUUCACCUUCGGACCAUUAUGGAACUCCUCGUGACAUCCGGGAUCUCAUCCGGGAGUCCGAACAACUUUCAGAUUUCCGCAUACUAAUAUCUCUACAACCCUAGCAUCACCGAACCUUAAGUGUGUAGACCCUACGGGUUCGGGAGACAUGCAGACAUGACCGAGACGACUCUCCGGUCAAUAACCAACAGCGGGAUCUGGAUACCCAUGUUGGCUCCCACAUGUUCCACGAUGAUCUCAUCGGAUGAACCAUGAUGUCGAGGAUUCAAUCAAUCCCGUAUACAAUUCCCUUUGUCAAUCGGUACGUUACUUGCCCGAGAUUCGAUCGUCGGUAUCCCAAUACCUUGUUCAAUCUCGUUACCGGCAAGUCACAUUACUCGUACUGUAAUGCAUGAUCCCGUGACCAAACACUUGGUCACAUUGAGCUCAUUAUGAUGAUGCAUUACCGAGUGGGCCCAGAGAUACCUCUCAGUCAUACGGAGUGACAAAUCCCAGUCUUGAUUCGUGCCAACCCAACAGACACUUUCGGAGAUACCCGUAGUGCACCUUUAUAGCCACCCAGUUACGUUGUGACAUUUGGCACACCCAAAGCACUCCUAUGGUAUCCGGGAGUUGCACAAUCUCAUGGUCUAAGGAAAUGAUACUUGACAUUUGGAAAAGCUCUAGCAAACGAACUACAAGAUCUUGUGCUAUGCUUAGGAUUGGGUCUUGUCCAUCACAUCAUUCUCCUAAUGAUGUGAUCCCGUUAUCAAUGACAUCCAAUGUCCAUAGUCAGGAAACCAUGACUAUCUGUUGAUCAACGAGCUAGUCAACUAGAGGCUCACUAGGGACAUGUUGUGGUCUAUGUAUUCACACAUGUAUUACGAUUUCCGGAUAACACAAUUAUAGCAUGAACAAUAGAAAAUUAUCAUGAACAAGGAAAUAUAAUAAUAACCAUUUUAUUAUUGCCUCUAGGGCAUAUUUCCAACACUUCUUGCCUCCUGGCACAUCGUUUGAGAUAGUCUUCACAAAUGUAGACCAUCUCGGAUAGAUGCCAUCAACUAGGUAGUACCCCUUGUUGUAGUGCCGCCCAUUGACCUCGAAGUUCACCGCAGGAGAAUGACCUUCAACAAGCUUGGCAAAGACAGGGGAGCACUACAGCACGUUGAUGUCAUUGUGAGUUCCUGGCAUACCAAAGAAGGAAUGCCAAAUCCAGAGGUCCUGUGUUGCCACUGCCUCAAGUACCACACUACAACAGCCUUUGGCGCCUUUGUACAUCCCCUGCCAAGCAAAUGGGCAGUUCUUCCAUUUCCAAUGCAUGCAGUCGAUGCUUCUAAGCAUCCCAGGAAAUCCUCUUGCUGCAUUCUGUGCUAGAAUCCGAGCAGUGUCUUCCGCAUUGGGUGUUCGCAAGUAUUGCGGUCCAAACACUGCAACCACUGCCCAACAGAAUUUGUAGAAACACUCAAUGGUGGUGGACUUGGCCAUGCGCCCAUAGUCGUCGAGUGAAUCAUUGGGAGCUCCGUAUGCAAGCAUCCUCAUCGCUGUCGUGCACUUCUGGAUUGAGGUGAAUCCAAGUUUGCCGGCGCAAUCCUUCUUGCACUUGAAGUAGCUGUCGAACUCUAAUGGAAUUCACAAUCCUGAGGAAAAGCUUUCGGCUCAUCCGAUAACGGCGCCGAAAUGUUUUGUCACCGUGCAGUGGAGCGUCGGCGAAGUAGUCGGAGUAGAGCAUGUAGUAGCCUUCGAGACGAUGCCGGUUCUUUGCUUUCAUCCGCCCCGACGCCGAGCCACCUCGCCACGGCUUUUCAUUGCUCGCCAGCAGGACGACGAGGGUGGCGAGGACCAUGAGAUGUUCCUCUUCCUGGACGUCGGCCUCGGCUUCCUCCUCCAGCAGCGUGGCGAGCGCUUCCUCGUCGUCCGAGUCCAUUGCCGAGGCAGGCAAAUCGCCGAACACCUUGCGGGCGCGGUGGGCGCGUACCCGCCGCUACACAGCCCCUCCGCGGCCGGAAACCCGGAAAAAUUUCCCAGCCAGUGGUGGAGAGGUUGCCUCGGCGAAACCUCUGCUCUUUUUCCGGCGGGGAUGGGCUAUCUAGCGGUGGUGGGCGGUGGGCGGCACCGGGAUCAGCCGGUUGGCGGCCGAGCGCGCGGGGGGUGGGAGGCAAAUCUGGAAGAAAGACUUGACUUUUUGCCUGACGGUGUGGGCCAGACGUGCUUUUCCCUUGCGCCGGAGCCCCCGAGCGCCCCCAGUGCGCUGGGUUCGGCCUGCGAUCGCCGGGCCCAAAAACGAGCCGAGCCGGCGGAUUUCGGUGUCCCGGGGGCGCGACUGGGGCGUUUUUUUGGCGCCGGCGCUGAAAAAGCCGCCUGGGGGCCUGUUGGGGACGCGGCUGGAGAUGCUCUUAGAAGGCAUAGGGAAUUGUCCAUGGAUAAUUAGGUACUAUAUUGCGUCGUCGAAAUUCCUACUGCCUUGCAAGGCACGUCCGGAGUUUGAGCCAGAGGAGCAGGAAGGGCCUAGGAGCCGGAGCUUUUCGCCCAGCAUGAUUCGCCGAACGUGACGAUGGCGGCUGAUUAGCUACUUCGAUCGCGACCUAUAGGCUGGGAUUGCAAGUUGCUACCUCUUGAGCAUGUGUUGGUUUUCCCUUGAAGAGGAAAGGGUGAUGCAGCAAAGUAGCGUAAGUAUUUCCAUCAGUUUUUAAGAACCAAGGUAUCAAUCCAGUAGGAGAUUACACGAAAGUCACCCAGUACCUGCACAAACAAUCAAGAACCUUGCAACCAACGCGAUAAAGGGGUUGUCAAUCCCUUCACGGUCACUCGCAAAAGUGAGAUCUAAUAAAGAUAGUAAAGUAAAUAUUUUUGAUAUUUUAGUUGUAUAGAUUGGAAUAAAGAUUGCAAAAUAAAAUAAAUAGGAAACUAGAAUCAUAGAUCGGAAACUUAUAUCAUGUAAAAUAGACCCGGGGGCCAUAGGUUUCACUAGUGGCUUCUCUCAUGAUAGCAUGUAUUACGGUGGGUGAACAAAUUACUGCCGAGCAAUUGAUAGAAAAGCGCAUAGUUAUGAGAAUAUCUAGGCAAUGAUCAUGAAUAUAGGCAUCAUGUCUGUGUCAAGUAGACCAAAACGAUUCUACAUCUACUACUAUUACUCCACACAUCAACCGCUAUCCAGCAUGCAUCUAGAGUAUUAAGUUCAUAAGAACAGAGUAACGCAUUAAGCAAGAUGACAUGAUGUAGAGGGAUAAACUCAAGCAAUAUGAUAUAAACCCCAUCUUUUUAUCCUCGAUGGCAACAAUACAAUACGUGCCUUGCUGCCCCUACUGUCACUGGGAAAGGACACCGCAAGAUUGAACCCAAAGCUAAGCACUUCUCCCAUUGCAAGAAAGAUCAAUCUAGUAGGCCAAACUAAACCGAUAAUUCGAAGAGACUUGCAAAGAUAUCAAAUCAUGCAUAUAAGAAUUCAGAAAAGAGCCAUAUAUUAUUCAUAGGUAACCUUGAUCAUAAAUCCACAAUUCAUCGGAUCUCGGCAAACACACCGCAAAAAGUAUUACAUCGAAUAGAUCUCCAAGAACAUCGAGGAGAACUUUGUAUUGAGAAUCAAAGAGAGAGAAGAAGCCAUCUAGCUAAUAACUAUGGACCCGAAGGUCUGUGGUAAACUACUCACGCUUCAUCGGAGAGGCUAUGAUGUUGAUGUAGAAGCCCUCCGUGAUCGAUUCCCCCUCCGGUAGAUCGCCGGAAAAGUCCCCAAGAUGGGAUCUCACGGGUACAGAAGGUUGCAGCGGUGGAAAAGUGGUUUCGUGGCUCCCCCCUCAUGUUUUUAGGGUAUAAGAGUAUAUAUAGGCGAAAGAAGUAUAUCGGUGGAGCUCCAUGGGGCCCACGAGGGUGGGGGGCGCCCUCCUGCCUUGUGGCCGCCUCGCGGAGUUCCAGACUUCAACUCCAAGUCUUCUGGACUGCGUUUGUUCCAAGAAAGAACCUCGCGAAGGUUUCAUUCCAUUUGGAUGCCGUUUGGUAUUCCUUUUCUGCAAAACAGUGAAAUAGGCAAAAAAUAGAAACUGACACUGGGCCUUCGGUUAAUAGGUUAGUCCCAAAAAUAAUAUAAAAGAGCAUAUUAAAGCCCAUUAAACAUCCAAAACAGAUAAUAUAAUAGCAUGGAACGAUAAAAAAUUAUGGAUACGUUGGAGACGUAUCAAGCAUCCCAAGCUUAAUUCCUUCUCGUCCUCUGAUAAAAACAGAAUUUUUGAUGUGGAAUGCUACCUAACAUGAUUUUCAAUGUAAUUCUGUUUAUUGUGGCAUGAAUGUUUAGAUCCAUAAGAUUCAAAAUAAAAGUUUAAUAUUGACAUAAAAAACAAUAAUACUUCAAGCAUACUAAUAAAGCAAUCAUGUCUUCUCAAAAUAACAUGGCCAAAGAAAGUUAUCCCUACAAAAUCAUAUAGUCUGGCUAUGCUCUAUCUUCAUCACACAAAGUAUUUAAUCAUGCACAACCCCGAUGACAAGCCAAGCAAUUAUUUCAUACUUUUGGUGUUCUCAAACUUUUUCAAUCUUCACGCAAUACAAGAGCGUGAGCCAUGAACAUAGCACUAUAGGUGGAACUAGCACAUAUGCCCGUGCGUUGCAACGGGAGAGAUGUUUCUUUGGAGAAGCAAUGGGAGAGAUAGUUGAUGUGUCCACCAAAAAUGAUCUCCAUAGCGGUGCAGUAGAGAGAGGAGUUGUGGUCUUCUCGCGGGUCAUGUUUGUCCCGCGAGAUCUUGAUAGUUGUAGGGUUAGUCAGUGUGGCGGCAACCAUCCAACUCGUGCCUUUUUUUCCUUGGGGUCCACCUCUGCCUAGGGGUUGUGUCUGCCUCCUCAUUUGGUAGCUAUGCGAUGACCUUUGGGGCACAGUUGCUUCGACCAUUCUCUCUUACGAUGACAUAAUUGGAUGGAUUACUAAUUGUAGCGCAUAAAUCCCGUUUCAUUAGCAUAUUUAGUGCAUAACCAGACACCAAUGUCCCUUCUAUAUUAGGGUUUAUUCUCUUUGAUUAUUUUAGCGCUCACGUGCCCACAAUUUUUUUAUUCGAGCCAAACCAGCAUAUUCUCUCUUAUUGGCCCAAGGAAAAAAUUGCUCCCUUGAACGACCUAGUAGGGGAGUGCAGCUGAGGCAUAAUACAGCCUAUGCGACAAAGCAAUUUUUUCUUGUGCCAACUGCGUGGGGGCUACUAUAUGGCUAGUUGCGUAAAAUAGCGCAUGGGACGCACACUGGUAGGCGCCAAGACGACCUGUGUUAGUAAGGCAUAGAAAAAUAAAAAAAUUGAUGAGUUGAGGGAUCAAAAUCAUGCCCUCAAAGACCUGACUACGUGCUGCUAGCCACUCAAAGAAACGAGUCAUACCAACCAAUGGCCAGCUCAAACCUUUAAGAUCAUACUCCAAGGUCAGAUUGGAAAAAGAAGUUGAACUGUAUAUAAAUUGUUGAACAUUCCUGGAAACAUGAAUAAUUUUGAAAAUCCCAACAUUUUUUGAAAUUCUUUACAUUUUCAGAAAUUCACAACAAAAUAUGAAACACUCAAAAUUCACAAUUUUAUUUGAAAACAUAAACCUUUUAUAAUAACAUGAACAUGUUUUGAAUUUGUGAUUCUUUUUAAAUGAAACAUAUUUUGAACAUUCAGAACAAUUUUUUAAAAUAUGUUUCUUGACAUUAUUUUGAAUUUGCGAACAUUUCACUAAAACAAGAAUAUAUUUCGUAUUUGGAACAUUUUUUAAAUACAUAUUUUUGGAAAAUCUGGAACAACUUUGGAAAACACAAAGAAAAAUGGAACCUUAUUUUAAAAAUCUAAACCAAUUUUUGAAUGAGAACCAAGAUUUAAUGUUCUUAACAUUUUUCAAAAUGGUUUAUAUUUUAAAAUCCCGAUCAUUUUUUAAAAAAUGAAAUUUUUUGAUAUUAUGAACUUUUAAGAAAAUUUUGAAUUUACGAAAAAAGGGAGCAAGAAAAAUAAACUUGAAAAAAAAGACAAAAUAAUAGGAAAGAAAAAUAGACAUAAAUGGAAAAAGAAAAAUAGAAACAUAACACAGAACAAAAAAAACAAAACGGUUCAGCCCAGCUCGGACGCUCUGCGCGAAUUUGCGACUAUUUUGGAAUGCGAACAAAUAUUUAAUGUUCUGAACAUUUUUCAAAAUGGAGUAAAUUUUAUAAUUCUAUUUUUUUUUAAAGUCGAACUUUUAUGAUAUUAUGAACUUUUUUGAAAAUUUUAAAUUUAUGAAAAAGGGAAAAAAAAUCUUGAAACGAAAAAAGAUUAAAGAAGAAGAGAAAGAAAUGAAAAAAAUAGAAACAUAACACAAAACAAAAAAAUGGAAUAAACUUUAUAAUUCUGAACAUGUUUUUGAAAAUUCAGAUUUUUAUGAUAUUGUGAACUUUUUCUAAAAUUUGAAUUUACGAAAAAAUGGAAAAAAACUUGAAAGCAAAAAGGACCAUAGAAGAAGAGAAAGAAAAAGAGAAACAUAACACACACAAAAAAUGGGCCAGCCCAGCUUGGCCCUCCUGUGCGAAUUUUCCACUAUCUAAGGCUCUAGGCGAUAAAUAGGGUUUUCGCACCUAGAUGGAUACGAAAAUAACUGGGCCGGCUUUCCUAUGCUACACUUCGAGCGGCCCAUGUACGUAAUCUGGCAUUUUCCUUUUCUAACAGACGAACGGACAAAACUUUAGUACCACCUCGAAUAGAAAAAUAAUCUUUUUGAUGGUGAACGGAUGAAAAAAAGGAGAAACGCACCUUGCUUUAUUAGUAGGUAUAGAUAGAAUGGUGGUUGUGGAGAAGACAAAACGGAGAAUAUAGUCUCACAUCAACUAGGCGUAUCAACGGGCUAUGUAGAUGCCCAUCAAUAGAUAUCAAUGUGAGUGAGUAGGGAUUGCCAUGUAACGGAUGCACUAGAGCUAUAAGCGUAUGAAAGCUCAACAAAAGAAACUAAGUGGGUGUGCAUCCAACUUGCUUGCUCAUGAAGACCUAGGGCAAUUUGAGGAAGUCCAUCAUUAGAAUAUACAAGCCAAGUUCUAUAAUGAAAAAUUUCCCACUAGUAUAUGAAGGUGACAACAUAGGAGACUCUCUAUCAUGAAGAUCAUAGUGCUACUUUGAAGCACAAGUGUAGUAAAAGAAUAGUAGGAUUGCCCCUUCUCUCUUUUUCUCUCAUUUUUUUUUAUUUGGUCCUUUCUCUUUUUUUUAUGGCCUCUUUUUUUUCGUCCGGAGUCUCAUCCCGACUUGUGGGGGAAUCAUAGUCUCCAUCAUCCUUUCCUCACUGGGACAAUGCUCUAAUAAAGAUCAUCACACUUUUAUUUACUUACAACUCAAGAAUUAGAACAAAAUAUGACUCUAUGUGAAUGCCUCCGGCGGUGUACCGGGAUGUGCAAUGAUUCAAGAGAGACAUGUAUGAAUUAUGAACGGUGGCUUUGCCACAAAUACGAUGUCAACUACAUGAUCAUGCAAAGCAAUAUGACAAUGAUGGAGUGUGUCAUAAUAAACGGAACGAUGGAAAGUUGCAUGGCAAUAUAUCUCGGAAUGGCUAUUAAAAUGCCAUAAUAGAUAGGUAUGGUGGCUGUUUUGAGGAAGGUAUAUGGUGGUUGUAUGAUACUGGCGAAAGUUGCGUGGUAUUAGAGAGGUUAGCAAUGGUGGAAGGGUGAGAGUGUGUAUAAUCCAUGGACUCAACAUUAGUCAUAAAGAACUCACAUACUUAUUGCAAAAAUAUAUUAGUUAUCGAAACGAAGUACUACGCGCAUGCUCCUAGGGGGAUAGAUUGGUAGGAAAAGACCACCGCUCGUCCCCGACCACCACUCAUAAGGAAGACAAUCAAUAAAUAAAUUAUGCUCCGACUUCAUCACAUAACGGUUCACCAUACGUGCAUGCUACGGGAAUCACAAACUUUAACACAAGUAUCUCUCAAAUUCAUAAUUACUCAACUAGCAUGACUCUAAUAUCACCAUCUUCAUAUCUCAAAACAAUCAUAAGGAAUCAAACUUCUCAUAGCAUUCAAUGCACUUUAUAUGAAAGUUUUUAUUAUACCCGUCUUGGAUGCCCAUCAUAUUAGGACUAAUUUUAUAGCCAAAGCAAAUUACCAUGAUGUUCUAAAAGAAUCUCAAAAUAAUAUAAGUGAAGCAUGAGAGGUCAAUAAUUUCUAUAAAAUAAAAUCACCACCGCGUUCUAAAAAGAUAUAAGUGAAGCACUAGAGCAAAAUUAUCUAGCUCAAAAGAUAUAAGUGAAGCACAUAGAGUAUUCUAAUAAAUUCCGAUUCAUGCGUGUCUCUCCCAAAAGGUGUGUACAGCAAGUAUGAUUGUGGUAAAAUAAAAAUCAAAGACUCAAAUCAUAAAAAAAGCUCCAAGCAAAACACAUAUCAUGUGGUGAAUAAAAAUAUAGCCUCAAGUAAAGUUACCGAUAGACGAAGACGAAAGAGGGGAUGCCUUCCAGGGCAUCCCCAAGCUUAGGAUUUUGGUUGUCCUUGAAUUUUACCUUGGGGUUCCUUGGGCAUCCCCAAGAUUAGGCUCUUGCCACUCCUUAUUCCAAAAUCCAUCUAAUCUUUACUCAAAACUUGAAAACUUCACAACACAAAACUUAAACAGAAAAUCUCAUGAGCUCCGUUAGUAUAAGAAAAUAGAUCACCACUUUAAGGUACUGUAAUAAACUCAUUAUUUAUUUAUAUUGGUGUUAAACCUACUGUAUUCCAACUUCUCUAUGGUUCAUACCCCCGAUACUACUCAUAGAUUCAUCAAAAUAAGCAAACAACACAUGAAAAACAGAAUCUGUCAAAACAGAAUAGUCUGUAGCAAUCUGUAUCAAACGAAUACUUCUGAAACUCCAAAAAUUCUUAAAUAAAUUGGUGGACGUGAGUAAUUUGUCUAUUAAUUAUCUGCAAAAAGAAUAAAUCUAAAAGCACUCUCCAGUAAAAAAUGACGUCUAAUCUCGUGAGCGCAAAAGUUUCUGUUUUUUACAGCAAGAUUGCAAAGACUUCACCCAUGUCUUCCCAAAGGUUCUACUUGGCACAAACACUAAUUAAAACAUAAAACCAUAUCUAAACAGAGGCUAGACGAAUUAUUUAUUACUAAACAGGAGCAAAAAGCAAAGAACAAAAAUAAAAUUGGGUUGCCUCGCAACAAGCGCUAUUGUUUAACGCCCUUUUUAGCUAGGCAUUGAUAAUUUUAAUGAUGCUCACAUGAAAGACAAGAAUUGAACUGCAAAGAGAGCAUCAUAAAACACGUGACAAACACAUAUAAGUCUAACAUACUUCCUAUGCAUAGGCAUUUUGUAAGCAAACAAAAUUUCAAGGCAAGAAAAACUAGCAUAUGCAAGGAAGAAGAAAGAGACGAUAGCAAUCUCAACAUGACGAGAGGCAAUUUAGUAAGGCAAAAAUUUCUACAACCAUAUUUUCCUCUCUCAUGAUAAUUACAUGUAGGAUCAUAGGCAAAUUCAAAAAAAUGCUAUCACAUAACAUAUUUUCAACACGAUCCACAUGCAUGCAAAGUUGACACUCUUCCAAAAUAGUGGGAUUAUCAUUAACUAAAGUCAUGGCCUCUCCAAACCCACUUGUAUCAAAAAUACCAUAAGAUUGAACAUUCUCCAAAUAUGUGGGAUCUAAAGUUGACACUCUUCCGAACCCACUUUCAAUAUUAUUGCAAACACUAUUAUCAAUCUCAUAUUCAUCAUGGGGCUUAAAUAAAUUUUCAAGAUCAUAAGAAGAAUCACCCCAAUCAUCAUCAUUGCAACAAGUAGUAGACAUAGCAAAACUAGCAUCCCCAAGCUUAGGGUUUUGCAUAUUAUUAGCACAAUUGAAAUCAAGAGAAUUUAUAGGAAAAUCAUUGCAAUCAUGCUUUUUAUUCAAGGAGCUAUCGUGAAUCUCUUCAUAAAUUUCUUCAUCACAAUUUUCAGAUUCACGAAUUUCAAGCAAAACCUCAUAAAGAUAAUCUAGUGCACUCAAAUCACUAGAAAUUGGUUCAUCAUAAUUGGAUCUAUUAAAAGGAUUAGCAAGGGGAUGAGGAUCCAUAAACUUUUAGUAAGCGAAGAUGCAUGCAAAAAGAAGGCACAUGGUAACACAAGAUCGAACGGAAGGAGGGCGAAGAAAAGGCAAAGGUUUUCGAAAAUCGUUUUAGAAGUGGGAGAGAGGAAAACGAGAGGCGAAUGGCAAAUAAUGUAAUGCGAGGGAGAAGAGUUUAUGACGGGUACUUGGUAUGUCUUGACUUGAGCAUAGAUCUCCCCGGCAACAGCACCGGAAAUCCUUCUUGCUACCUCUUGAGCAUGCGUUGGUUUUCCUUUGAAGAGGAAAGGGUGAUGCAGCAAAGUAGCGUAAGUAUUUCCCUCAGUUUUUGAGAACCAAGGUAUCAAUCCAGUAGGAGAUUACACGCACGUCACCUAGUACCUGCACAAACAAUCAAGAACCUUGCAACCAACGCGAUAAAGGGGUUGUCAAUCCCUUCACGGACACUCGCAAAAGUAAGAUCUAAUAAAGAUAGUAAAGUAAAUUUUUUGGUAUUUUUGUUGUAUAGAUUGGAAAGUAAAGAUUGCAAAAUAAAAUAAAUAGGAAACUAGAAUUAUAGAUCGGAAACUUAUAUGAUGUAAAAUAGACCCCGGGGCCAUAGGUUUCACGAGUGUCUUCUCUCAUGAUAGCAUUUAUUACGGCGGGUGAACAAAUUACUGCCGAGCAAUUGAUAGAAAAGCGCAUAGUUAUGAGAAUAUCUAGGCAAUGAUCAUGAAUAUAGGCAUCACGUCCAUGUCAAGUAGACCGAAACGAUUCUGCAUCUACUACUAUUACUCCACACAUCGACCGCUAUCCAGCAUGCAUCUAGAGUAUUAAGUUCAUAAGAACAGAGUAACACAUUAAGCAAGAUGACAUGAUGUAGAGGGAUAAACUCAAGCAAUAUGAUAUAAACCCCAUCUUUUUAUCCUCGAUGGCAAUAAUACAAUACGUGCCUUGCUACCCCUAUUGUCACUGGGAAAUGACACCGCAAGAUUGAACCCAAAGCUAAGCACUUCUCCCAUUGCAAGAAAGAUCAAUCUAGUAGGCCAAACUAAACCAAUAAUUCGAAUAGACUUGCAAAGAUAUCAAAUCAUGCAUAUAAAAAUUUAGAGAAGAACCAAAUAUUAUUCAUAGAUAAUCUUGAUCAUAUAUCCACAAUUCAUCGGAUCUCGGCAAACACACCGCAAAUUAUUUUACAUCAAAUAGAUCUCCAAGAACAUCGAGGAGAACUUUGUAUUGAGAAUCAAAGAGAGAGAAGAAGCCAUCUAGCUAAUAACUAUGGACCCGAAGUGUUGGAGAUCGUUGCAGAAUUUUAAAAUUUUCUACGCAUCACCAAGAUCCAUCUAUGGAGUAUACUAGCAACGAGGGGAAAGGAGUGCAUCUACAUACCCUUGUAGAUCGCGAGCGGAAGCGUUCAAGUGAACGGGGUUGAUGGAGUCGUACUCGCCGUGAUCCAAAUCACCGAUGACCGAGUGCCGAACGGACGGCACCUCCGCGUUCAACACACGUACGGAGCAGCGACGUUUCCUCCUUCUUGAUCCAGCAAGGGGGAAGGAGAGGUUGAUGGAGAUCCAGUAGCACGACGGCGUGGUGGUGGAAGUAGCGGGGAUCCCGGCAGGGCUUCGCCAAGCGCAAGCGGGAGGGAGAGGUGUUGCACGGGGANNNNNNNNNNNNNNNNNNNNNNNNNNNNNNNNNNNNNNNNNNNNNNNNNNNNNNNNNNNNNNNNNNNNNNNNNNNNNNNNNNNNNNNNNNNNNNNNNNNNNNNNNNNNNNNNNNNNNNNNNNNNNNNNNNNNNNNNNNNNNNNNNNNNNNNNNNNNNNNNNNNNNNNNNNNNNNNNNNNNNNNNNNNNNNNNNNNNNNNNNNNNNNNNNNNNNNNNNNNNNNNNGGGGGGGGGGCGGCCAAGGGGGUGGCUUGCCCCCCAAGGCAAGUGGGGCGCCCCCACCCUUAGGGUUUCCAACCCUAGGCGCAGGGGGAGGCCCAAGGGGGGCGCCCCAGACCACUAAGGGCUGGUUCCCUUCCCACUUCAGCCCAUGGGGUCCUCCGGGAUAGGUGGCCCCACCCGGUGGACCCUCGGGACCCUUUCGGUGGUCCCGGUACAAUACCGCUAACCCCCGAAACUUUCCCGGUGGCCGAAAUUAGACUUCCUAUAUAUAAUUCUUCACCUCCGGACCAUUCCGGAACUCCUCGUGACGUCCGGGAUCUCAUCCGGGACUCCGAACAACUUUCAAGUUUCCGCAUACUAAUAUCUCUACAACCCUAGCGUCACCGAACCUUAAGUGUGUGGACCCUACAGGUUCGGGAGACAUGCAGACAUGACCGAGACGCCUCUCCGGUCAAUAACCAACAGCGGGAUCUGGAUACCCAUGUUGGCUCCCACAUGUUCCACGAUGAUCUCAUCGGAUGAACCACGGUGUCGAGGAUUCAAUCAAUCCCGUAUACAAUUCCCUUUGUCAAUCGGUAUGUUACUUGCCCGAGAUUCGAUCGUCGGUAUCCCAAUACCUUGUUCAAUCUCGUUACCGACAAGUCUCUUUACUCGUACCGUAAUGCAUGAUCCCGUGGCUAACUCCUUAGUCACAUCGAGCUCAUUAUGAUGAUGCAUUACCGAGUGGGCCCAGAGAUACCUCUCCGUCAUACGGAGUGAUAAAUCCUAGUCUCGAUCCGUGCCAACUCAACAGACACUUUCGGAGAUACCCGUAGUGAACCUUUAUAGUCACCCAGUUACGUUGUGACGUUUGGCACACCCAAAGCACUCCUACGGUAUCCGGGAGUUGCACGAUCUCAUGGUCUAAGGAAAUGAUACUUGACAUUGGAAAAGCUCUAGCAAACGAACUACACGAUCUUUUAUGCUAUGCUUAGGAUUGGGUCUUGUCCAUCACAUCAUUCUCCUAAUGAUGUGAUCCCGUUAUCAAUGACAUCCAAUGUCCAUAGUCAGGAAACCAUGACUAUCUGUCGAUCAACGAGCUAGUCAACUAGAGGCUUACUAGGGACACGUUGUGGUCUAUGUAUUCACACAUGUAUUACGAUUUCCGGAUAACACAAUUAUAGCAUGAACAAUAGACAAUUAUCAUGAACAAGGAAAUAUAAUAAUAACCAUUUAUUAUUGCCUCUAGGGCAUAUUUCCAACAGUCUCCCACUUGCACUAGAGUCAAUAAUCUAGUUACAUUGUGAUGAAUCAAACACCCAUAGAGUUCUGGUGUUGAUCAUGUUUUGCUCUAGGGAGAGGUUUAGUCAACGGAUCUGCUACAUUCAGGUCCGUAUGUACUUUACAAAUAUCUAUGUAUCCAUUUUGAACACUUUCACGAAUGGAGUUGAAGCGACGCUUGAUAUGCCUAGUCUUCCUGUGAAACCUGGGUUCCUUGGCAAGAGCAAUAGCUCCAGUGUUGUCACAGAAGAGAGUCAUCGGGCCCGACGCAUUGGGAAUCACCCCUAGGUCAGUAAUGAACUCCUUCAUCCAGAUUGCUUCUUGCGCUGCCUCUGAGGCUGCCAUGUACUCCGCUUCACAUGUAGAUCCCGCCACGACGCUUUGCUUGCAACCGUACCAGCUUACUGCCCCUCCAUUCAAAAUAUACACGUAUCCGGUUUGUGACUUCGAGUCAUCCAGAUCUGUGUCGAAGCUAGCGUCGACGUAACCCUUUACGACGAGCUCUUUGUCACCUCCAUAGACGAGAAACAUAUCCUUAGUCCUCUUCAGGUACUUCAGGAUAUUCUUGACCGCUGUCCAGUGUUCCAUGCCGGGAUUACUUUGGUACCUUCCUACCAAACUUACGGCAAGGUUUACAUCAGGUCUGGUACACAGCAUGGCAUACAUAAUAGACCCUAUGGCCGAGGCAUAGGGGAUGACACUCAUCUUUUCUCUAUCUUCUGCCGUGGUCGGGCAUUGAGCCGUGCUCAAUUGCACACCUUGCAAUACAGGAAAGAACCCCUUCUUGGACUGAUCCAUAUUGAACUUCUUCAAUAUCUUGUCAAGGUACGUACUCUGUGAAAGACCAAUGAGGCGUAUUGAUCUAUCUCUAUAGAUCUUGAUGCCUAAUAUAUAAGCAGCUUCUCCAAGGUCCUUCAUUGAAAAACACUUAUUCAAAUAGGCCUUUAUACUUUCCAAGAAUUCUAUAUCAUUUCCCAUCAAUAGUAUGUCAUCCACAUAUAAUAAGAGAAAUGCUACAGAGCUCCCACUCACUUUCUUGUAAACACAGGCUUCUCCAUAAGUCUGUGUAAACCCAAACGCUUUGAUCAUCUCAUCAAAACAAAUGUUCCAACUCCGAGAUGCUUGCACCAGCCCAUAGAUGGAGCGCUGGAGCUUGCAUACCUUGUUAGAAUUCUUAGGAUCGACAAAACCUUCCGGCUGCAUCAUAUACAAUUCUUCCUUAAGAAAGCCGUUAAGGAAUGCCGUUUUGACGUCCAUUUGCCAUAUCUCAUAAUCAUAGAAUGCGGCAAUUGCUAACAUGAUUCGGACGGGCUUCAGCUUCGCUACGGGUGAGAAAGUCUCAUCAUAGUCAACCCCUUGAACUUGUCGAUAACCCUUAGCGACAAGUCGAGCCUUAUAGAUGGUCACGUUACCAUCCGCGUUUGUCUUCUUCUUAAAGAUCCAUUUAUUUUCUAUGGCUCGCCGAUCAACGGGCAAGUCAGUCAAAGUCCAUACUUCGUUUUCAUACAUGGAUCCUAUCUCGGAUUUCAUGGCUUCUAGCCAUUUGUCGGAAUCCGGGCCCGCCAUCGCUUCUUCAUAGUUCGAAGGUUCACCGUUGUCCAACAACAUGAUUUCUAGGACAGGGUUGCCGUACCACUCUGGUGCGGAACGUGUCCUUGUGGACCUACGAAGUUCAGCAGUAACUUGAUCCGAAGCUUCAUGAUCAUCAUCAUUAACUUCCUCCCCAGUCGGUGUAGGCACCACAGGAACAUCUUCCCGCGCUGCGCUACUUUCCGGUUCGGAAGGGGUGACUAUCACCUCAUCAAGUUCCACUUUCCUCCCACUCACUUCUUUCGAGAGAAACUCCUUUUCCAGAAAGGACCCAUUCUUGGCAACAAAGAUCUUGCCUUCGGAUCUGAGGUAGAAGGUAUACCCAAUGGUUUCCUUAGGGUAUCCUAUGAAGACACAUUUUUCCGACUUGGGUUCGAGCUUUUCAAGUUGAAGUUUCUUGACAUAAGCAUCGCAUCCUCAAACUUUUAGAAACGACAGCUUAGGUUUCUUCCCAAACCAUAAUUCAUACGGUGUCGUCUCAACGGAUUUCGACGGAGCCCUAUUUAAAGUGAAUACGGCAGUCUCUAAAGCAUAGCCCCAAAAUGAGAGCGGUAGAUCGGUAAGAGACAUCAUAGAUCGCACCAUAUCCAAUAGAGUACGAUUACGACGUUCGGACACACCGUUUCGCUGAGGUGUUCCAGGCGGCGUGAGUUGUGAAACGAUUCCACAUUUCCUUAAGUGCGUACCAAAUUCAUGACUUAAAUAUUCUCCACCACGAUCUGAUCGUAAGAACUUUAUUUUCCUAUCACGUUGAUUCUCAACCUCACUCUGAAAUUCCUUGAACUUUUCAAAGGUUUCAGACUUGUGUUUCAUUAGGUAGACAUACCCAUAUCUACUUAAGUCAUAAGUGAGAGUGAGAACAUAACGAUAUCCUCCGCGAGCCUCAACACUCAUUGGACCGCACACAUCGGUAUGUAUGAUUUCCAAUAAGUUGGUUGCUCGCUCCAUUGUUCCGGAGAACGGAGUCUUGGUCAUCUUACCCAUGAGGCAUGGUUCACACGUGUCAAAUGAUUCGUAAUCAAGAUACUCCAAAAGUCCAUCUGCAUGGAGCUUCUUCAUGCGUUUGACACCAAUGUGACCAAGGCGGCAGUGCCACAAGUAUGUGGGACUAUCGUUAUCAACUUUACAUCUUUUGGUAUUCACACUAUGAAUAUGUGUAACAUCACAUUCGAGAUUCAUCAAGAAUAAACCAUUGACCAACGGGGCAUGACCAUAAAACAUAUCUCUCAUAUAAAUAGAACAACCAUUAUUCUCGGAUUUAAAUGAGUAGCCAUCUCGAAUUAAACGAGAUCCUGAUACAAUGUUCAUGCUCAAAGCUGGCACUAAAUAACAAUUAUUGAGGUUUAAAACUAAUCCCGUAGGUAAAUGCAGAGGUAGCGUGCCAACGGCGAUCACAUCGACCUUGGAACCAUUCCCGACGCGCAUCGUCAUCUCGUCCUUUGCCAGUCUCCGCUUAUUCCGCAGUUCCUGUUUUGAGUUACAAAUAUGAGCAACCGCACCGGUAUCAAAUACCCAGGAGCUACUAUGAGUACUGGUAAGGUUCACAUCAAUUACAUGUAUAUCACAUAUACCUUUGGUGUUGCCGGCCUUCUUGUCCGCUAAGUAUUUGGGGCAGUUCCGCUUCCAGUGACCACUUCCCUUGCAAUAAAAGCACUCAGUCUCAGGCUUGGGUCCAUUCUUCGACUUCUUCCCGGCAACUGGCUUACCGGGCGCGGCAACUCCCUUGCCGUCCUUCUUGAAGUUCUUCUUACCCUUGCCUUUCUUGAACUUAGUGGUUUUAUUCACCAUCAACACUUGAUGUUCCUUUCUGAUCUCCACCUCCGCUGAUUUCAGCAUUGAAUAUACCUCAGGAAUGGUCUUUUCCAUCCCCUGCAUAUUGAAGUUCAUCACAAAGCUCUUGUAGCUCGGUGGAAGCGACUGAAGGAUUCUGUCAAUGACCGCGUCAUCUGGGAGAUUAACUCCCAGCUGAGACAAGCGGUUGUGUAACCCUGACAUUCUGAGUAUGUGCUCACUAACAUAACUAUUUUCCUCCAUUUUACAGCUGAAGAACUUGUCGGAGACUUCAUAUCUCUCGACCCGGGCAUGAGCUUGGAAAACCAUUUUCAGCUCUUCGAACAUCUCAUAUGCUCCAUGCUUCUCAAAACGCUUUUGGAGCCCCGGUCCUAAGCUGUAAAGCAUGCCGCACUGAACGAGGGAGUAAUCAUCAGCACGUGAUUGCCAAGCGUUCAUAACGUCUUGGUUCUCUGGGAUGGGUGCUUCACCUAGCGGUGCUUCUAAGACAUAAUCUUUCUUGGCAGCUAUGAGGAUGAUCCUCAGGUUCCGGACCCAGUCCGUAUAGUUGCUGCCAUCAUCUUUCAGCUUGGUUUUCUCUAGGAACGCGUUGAAGUUGAGGACAACGUGGGCCAUUUGAUCUACAAGACAUAUUGUAAAGAUUUUAGACUAAGUUCAUGAUAAUUAAGUUCAUCUAAUCAAAUUAUUCAAUGAACUCCCACUCAGAUAGACAUCCCUCUAGUCAUCUAAGUGAAACAUGAUUCGAGUUAACUAGGUCGUGUCCGAUCAUCACGUGAGACGGACUAGUCAAGAUCGGUGAACAUCUCCAUGUUGAUCGUAUCUUCUAUACGACUCAUGCUCGACCUUUCGGUCUUCCGUGUUCCGAGGCCAUGUCUGUACAUGCUAGGGUCGUCAAGUCAACCUAAGUGUAUUGCGUGUGUAAAUCUGGCUUACACCCAUUGUAUUCGAACGUUAGAAUCUAUCACACCCGAUCAUCACGUGGUGCUUCGAAACAACGAACCUUCGCAACGGUGCACAGUUAGGGGGAACACUUUCUUGAAAUUAUUGCGAGGGAUCAUCUUAUUUAAGCUACCGUCGUUCUAAGCAAAUAAGAUGCAAAACAUGAUAAACAUCGCAUGCAAUCAAAUAGUGACAUGCUAUGGCCAUUAUCAUUUUGCUCCUUUGAUCUCCAUCUUCGGGGCACCAUGAUCAUCUUCGUCACCGGCAUGACACCAUGAUCUCCAUCAUCAUGAUCUCCAUCAUUGUGUCUUCAUGAAGUUGUCACGCCAACGAUUACUUCUACUUCUAUGGCUAACGCGUUUAGCAAUAAAGUAAAGUAAUUUACAUGGCGUUAUUCAAUGACACGCAGGUCAUAUAAAAAAUAAAGACAACUCCUAUGGCUCCUGCCGGUUGUCAUACUCAUCGACAUGCAAGUCGUGAUUCCUAUUACAAGAAUAUGAUCAAUCUCAUACAUCACAUAUAUCAUUCAUCACAUCUUCUGGCCAUAUCACAUCACAAGGCACAUGCUGCGAAAACAAGUUAGACGUCCUCUAAUUGUUGUUGCAAGUUUUUUACGUGGCUUCUAUAGGUUUCUGGCAAGAACGUUUCUUACCUACGUAAAACCACAACGUGAUAUGCCAAUUUCUAUUUACCCUUCAUAAGGACCCUUUUCAUCGAAUCCGUUCCGACUAAAGUGGGAGAGACAGACACCCGCUAGCCACCUUAUGCAACUAGUGCAUGUCAGUCGGUGGAACCUGUCUCACGUAAGCGUACGUGUAAGGUCGGUCCGGGCCGCUUCAUCCCACAAUACCGCCGAAACAAGAUAAGACUAGUAGUGGCAAGAAAAAUUGACAACAUCUACGCCCAUAACUGCUUUGUGUCUACUCGUGCAUAGUAACUAUGCAUAGGCCUAGCUCAUGAUGCCACUGUUGGAGAUCGUUGCAGAAUUUUAAAAUUUUCUACGCAUCACCAAGAUCCAUCUAUGGAGUAUACUAGCAACGAGGGGAAAGGAGUGCAUCUACAUACCCUUGUAGAUCGCGAGCGGAAGCGUUCAAGUGAACGGGGUUGAUGGAGUUGUACUCGCCGUGAUCCAAAUCACCGAUGACCGAGUGCCGAAUGGACGGCACCUCCGCGUUCAACACACGUAAAGAGCAGCGACGUCUCCUCCUUCUUGAUCCAGCAAGGGGGAAGGAGAGGUUGAUGGAGAUCCAGCAGCACGACGGCGUGGUGGUGGAAUUAGCGGGGAUCCCGGCAGGGCUUCGCCAAGCGCAAGCGGGAGGGAGAGGUGUUGCAGGGGGAGUAGGAGGCGCCAGGAGCUGUGGUGUUGCUGCCCUCCCCCCACUAUUUAUAGGGGUCCUGGGGGGGGGGGGGGCGCCGGCCACCCUGGAGAUCCCAUCUGAGGGGGGGGCGGCCAAGGGGGUGGCUUGCCCCCCAAGGCAAGUGGGGCGCCCCCCACCCCUAGGGUUUCCAACCCUAGGCGCAGGGGGAGGCCCAAGGGGGGGCGCCCCAGCCCACUAAGGGCUUGUUCCCUUCCCACUUCAGCCCAUGGGGCCCUCCGGGAUAGGUGGCCCCACCCGGUGGACCCCCGGGACCCUUCCGGUGGUCCCGGUACAAUACCGAUAACCCCCGAAACUUUCAAGGUGGCCGAAACUGGACUUCCUAUAUAUAAUUCUUCACCUCCGAACCAUUCCGGAACUCCUCGUGACGUCCGGGAUCUCAUCCGGGACUCCGAACAACUUUCGGGUUUCCGCAUACUAAUAUCUCUACAACCCUAGCGUCAGCGAACCUUAAGUGUGUAGACCCUACGGGUUCGGGAGACAUGCAGACAUGACCGAGACGCCUCUCCGGUCAAUAACCAACAGCGGGAUCUGGAUACCCAUGUUGGCUCCCACAUGUUCCACGAUGAUCUCAUCGGAUGAACCACGGUGUCGAGGAUUCAAUCAAUCCCGUAUACAAUUCCCUUUGUCAAUCGGUAUCUUACUUGCCCGAGAUUCGAUCGUCGGUAUCCCAAUACCUUGUUCAAUCUCGUUACCGGCAAGUCUCUUUACUCGUACCGUAAUGCAUGAUCCCGUGGCUAACUCCUUAGUCACAUUGAGCUCAUUAUGAUGAUGCAUUACCGAGUGGGCCCAGAGAUACCUCUCCGUCAUACGGAGUGACAAAUCCCAGUCUCGAUCCGUGCCAACUCAACAGACACUUUCGGAGAUACCCGUAGUGAACCUUUAUAGUCACCCAGUUACGUUGUGACGUUUGGCACACCCAAAGCACUCCUACGGUAUCCGGGAGUUGCACGAUCUCAUGGUCUAAGGAAAUGAUACUUGACAUUGGAAAAGCUCUAGCAAACGAACUACACGAUCUUUUAUGCUAUGCUUAGGAUUGGGUCUUGUCCAUCACAUCAUUCUCCUAAUGAUGUGAUCCCGUUAUCAAUGACAUCCAAUGUCCAUAGUCAGGAAACCAUGACUAUCUGUCGAUCAACGAGCUAGUCAACUAGAGGCUUACUAGGGACACGUUGUGGUCUAUGUAUUCACACAUGUAUUACGAUUUCCGGAUAACACAAUUAUAGCAUGAACAAUAGACAAUUAUCAUGAACAAGGAAAUAUAAUAAUAACCAUUUAUUAUUGCCUCUAGGGCAUAUUUCCAACACGAAGGUCUGUGGUAAACUACUCACACUUCAUGGGAGAGGCUAUGGUGUUGAUGUAGAAGCCCUCCGUGAUCGAUUCCCCCUCCGGCAGAUCGCUGGAAAAGGCCCCAAGAUGGGAUCUCAUGGGUACGGAAGGUUGCGGCAGUGGAAAAGUUGUUUCGUGGCUCCCCCUGAUGUUUUUAGGGUAUAAGAGUAUAUAUAGGCGAAAGAAGUAUGUCGAUGGAGCUCCAUGGGGCCCACGAGGGUGGGGGCGCGCCCUCCUGCCUCGUGGCCGCCUCGCGGAGUUCCAGACUUCAACUCCAAGUGUUCUGGAUUGCGUUUGUUUCAAGAAAUAUUCUCGCGAAGGUUUCAUUCCGUUUCGAUUCCGUUUGGUAUUCCUUUUCUGCAAAACAGUAAAAUAGGUAAAAAAACAGAAAAUGGCACUGGGCCUUCGGUUAAUAGGUUAGUCAUAAGAAUAAUAUAAAAGAACAUAUUAAAGCCCAUUAAAUAUCCAAAACAAAUAAUAUAAUAGCAUGGAACAAUAAAAAAUUAUAAAUACGUUGAAGAUGUAUCACACGUCGUGCGAGAAACAAUGCGAGUCAUCACCGCCCCACGCUGGAUUCCGUAUGCACGAGCCAGGGUCACCGUAAAAAACAAACAAGCGAACAUCGGCGUCAAGCAAGCAGUCGAGAGAGCAAUGCUGCAUGCGUGCAUCCCCCUGUGUCGCUUCUUGCCCGCUUGUGCUAUGCGGGGUCUGGAAUGAUAGUGGUAGGUAAUUCAGUAUUGUAUCUGGGGCCGUGCCAUCGAUUCAAUUCGUAUGAGGCUCAUUACCAUUCUAAUGAUCGGGGCCUUUUACUAUAGCUGAUUUAGAAAGGAAAAACCGAUUUGUUCUUUAGUCUACCGUGGACUGGCCUAUCGCCAUGCAUUGUCCUUGGCUCCCACGACCAAUACAAUGUCGUGCAACACAUGCCGAACCAGCUGUGUCAAUCGGCACGCCUCGGAUAGUCUUCUAAGUAGCAGUUAUAAAAUGAAAAUUCAUAGCAUCCUUCAUCCCAGUGCACUCUGUCCUAGGUUCCCAAUCCCAGUUUGGACAAAUAGACAUAAUGUAUUCCUAAAAGAAAAGACAGAAUGUGCAUUCCAACGAACAGAAAGUUUAGGGCUAAUCAAAGUACACUUCUGUUAUGUUACAACCUCCCGAAACAGAUCAACGGAGGAGAUCUGUCCAUACCCCUUUAUAAUAAAGGGUAUGAUGGUCAUUUUUAAAAAUACGUCGUCCGUGCCGAGCGCGGCGAUACACGACAUGUGUACUUACCACCCAUACACGACAUAUGUGGCAUACCAAAACCCUAUUUGACGACCUCAACUUUUUUUCUCUUUCUUUUUAAUCUUCAAAAAGUGUGAGCUGCGGGAGAUCGAACUCCAACCCUCAAGGUUUACUUCAAGUUCUAGAAACCAACCAGUUAUUUGUUGUGCCCACUUACUUUUUUUACGCUUCUUUGGUGGCAAAUAUAACUUCAUGAACUUUCCGGCAGGUUUUUCGUGUUUUUUUGUUUUCUUAUGUGUUUUUUCUUGUUUUCUAUUUUUAAUCAAAUUCAUGAACUUUAAAAAAUAUUAUUAAUCUUUUUCAAUAUCUUGAACUCCUUUUGCACCUUUUUAUACAUAUUUUUUUUGAAAAUUUGUGAAAAUUUUCAAAUAUGUGAACAUUGUUUUUCAAAAUCAAUGAACUUUUUUGAAAUCUGCGAACGUUUGGGCAAGCCCAACAGGCGCCCGACGGGAGCAAAGCCGUCGCCUAGUUGGGCCAAGGCCUAACCUGUUCAAAAAUAUCAAAAUUUGUUCGGAAUACCAGAAAAUGUUCUUGUUUUCGAAUAUUCUCUACAAAUUUUAAAAAUGUUAUGGAAUUUUAAAAAAUGACACUGUUUUUGAAUUUUUUGUUCAAAAUUUUAAAGAAAUGUUUGUGUUUCAGAAAAAAAGUUGAUAAUUUUAAAAAAUACUUUCUUUGGAAUUUGUGUUCAAAAUUUUCAUCAAUUGUUGAGAAUUUGUUAACAAUUUUAGAAAAAGUGUUCAAGUUUGUGAAAUCUCAUACACAAUUUAAAAUUCGGAAAUUGUUGACAAAUUUCAAGAAAUCAUUAGGACAUAAGAAAAUGUUUAUGUUGAUUGAUAAUGACAAAAAAUGUAAAUAAUAGCAGCAUUUAAAUUAGGAAAAACUACAUGCUCACGGAUACACCCGUGUGGUCUACCCAUGCACACGCCUCUCAACUAGUGUCUUUUGGACUAUCGAUAAAUAACUCCAACUGCUUGCAGUAGCCUGGCACGGACAUAUGAGGCAUCAAUGCUUGGUUUGAGUGACUUCCGACACCGUUUGCAUGCUACGAUACAUCCGACCAUUUAUUUACCCUUUCAUCGAGAAAAAUACAGAAAAAUGCAAAACUUGUUAGGAAUCAGAACUACUUGCAUUGUUCCUUUAAAUGGUCUUAGAAGCUGGUGGAAAAUUUGAGCGAUUUGACGGAUGUCAAACAACAACGUGUGCUUUCAAAGAGACCCUUCUCGCCUACCCACACACUCCCCGUUGAACCUGGUCUGUUUUUGGACAUCCUUAAAUUGGCUCCAACUUUUGCAAGCAGAUGGGCAUGCCCGUGAUAGGCAUUCAUACCUGAUUUGAAUGACUUUCGACACUGUAUAAAAGAUCGGCCUUUUUAAGGGAGUUGGUGGCAACAAUAUGGGAUGUUCCAUCAUGACAGAACCAGAUCGGUCCAUUGCCUCUGUUUCCUCAACAAGAUCCAGAAUACCCAGCCGGCUCCAUAGCUCUCUUGCAUGCACGCAAUCAAGGAGGAGAUGUCGAACAUCUUCAGCAGCUUGAUGAUAUAUAGGGAUAAUUCCAUGUAAGAUGCGCCAACAAAAGAUAUGAACUAUACGUGGAAUUCCGAGCUUGCACAUAGUACUCCACACAGCCAGAGAGCAUUCACGUGGAAUUUCAUCGGUAAUAUAAACCGCUCUCACGUGCAAUCAAGCCAAGAGCUGCUAUGUACCGCGCGCGAGCAUUAGCGCAUGGUCGCCCACGUGAGCUUUUCAGGUGGGCAGCCCAACUGCUUCCGAUCGACAGCCACGGAAACAAAAUAAAUCAAUCGCUAUGCGUGAGCCUCCUUUUCAAAAAGAAAAUAAAUGUGUGUGCCUCCAAGCGAACGAGCGCAUUUUUUUGACAUUUUUUUAAACUUUCUUGGACGGUUUUAUUUUCAUAAACGAAUGAAUUUGGAAUAUAAAUCCAUGAAUUUAAAGAUAUUCACGAAUUCAAAAAAUAUUCAUGAAGAUGAAAAAAAAAGGUGACUCCAAAAGAUGUUCACAAAUUUUAGAAAGUGUUCGGGAAUUUUAAAAAACUUCACGAAUACAAUUAAUGUUCAGGAAUUGGAGAAAUUUCCCGAAUUUAAAAAAUAUUCAUGAUUGUAAAAAGUUCAUAAAUUAUAAGAAAAUUAUGAAUUAGAAAAAUAUUAAUGACCUUAAAAAAUCAUAAAUUUGAAAAUGGUCGUGAAUUUGAAAAAGGUUCACAUAUUUUAAAAAUAUCCAUGAAGAGAAAAAAUGUUCACGAAUUAGAAAAAUUAUCACAAAUUUUAGAAAAGUUCAUGGAGUUGAAAAAUGUUCACAAAUCCGAAAAUGCUGAUGAAUUUGUAAAAAAUGUUGGCAGCUAUGAAUUUUCAAUGUUUUUGCAAAAAAAUGUUCAUGAUUGUUUUUAAAUGUUCAAGAUUUCAAAAAUGUUCAUGCAAUUUGGAAAAGGUCGUGCUAUUAAAAAUGUUCUCUAUUUAUAAAAUCAUGAAUUCAAAAAAGUGUUCAUAAAUUUAAAAAAUUGUUCAUGAAUUAAGAAAAGAAAGUAGAAAACGUGAGAAGAAAGAAGAAAAGACCUCUUGGAACCUUUCCAAAACCGAUGGAAGGCUCUAGAAGUGGCCGGUAUCGGGCACAGGAGGAGUAGCACUACAACCUUGAGCUCCUCACGCAUCACCGGCAGGCGGAUGGUUAGAUCAACAGAGUGUUCGUGGGUGAGGAGGUCCAUGGCGGCUAUGAGGUCGUGCGCAAUGCUUGCGUGUCGGCCUCGGAUGCCCAGGCGGCUGCGGACGCGAACAUCGACAGCUCCACGUCUUUUUUGCCGGAGCUGCGCGUCAUUGGCGCUGCUACGAUGACGAGCUCAGCCCAUCCACGUCCAUCGUCGACCUCAUCUCCACCGAUGAUAGCCAGGGAGAAGACUCCGACGAGGAAGAUUAGGGCAUCAGAGACGGCUGCGUCUCGAGUCCCAUGUGGGCCAGUCCGUGUCCCUUGUCUCACUCUUCCUCGUCGGCGACCGCACCUUCACUUCCCGGGGCUCACGGCCGCCGUACAUCAAUACGGAGGGGGAACAACAAGGACGUGGAGGCCGGACGCUUUUUGGGGCUCAUGGGUGCCGGACAUCAACAUAGAGGGGAACAACAAGGACAUGGAGGCCGGGCGCUUUCUGGGGCUCACGGCCGUCGGCGAAGAUUUAGACUAGGUUAACUUUCGAACACUUUUGUUUAGUUGAAGUAUAUCGAAAUGUAACGAGUUUGGUCCAUUUAAAUGAAAAUCAUUCAGUUUACAUGAAAAUCACCCAGUUUGUCAAUAUCCGGUUUGAAAUGUAUGCAGUCAUGGUUGGAUGGACGGCUCCCGUAUCACUAUCCGCGGACAAAUAUAGUGUUUAUUCUAGAGGUCCAUGUUGGAGAUACCCUUAGUAUGAGAGAUGAUGUCCAUGUUGUUGUUAUGCUCGACAUUGUUUGAUCAUGUGUCUUGGGAAUAAAUCUUUCGUUGGAGAUAUGAUUCAACCAUGUUCAAUGGCUCACGCUUAACUACAAAAAAAUAUGCAUGAACGACCUAAAUGCAAAUCUAAACCUUCACAUGCUACCAAAAAUACGUUUUCUUUGAUGAACUUUGUUACAAGAACUUUUGUAUUGACCUAGAGCAUCAUUUUGGUUCAAAGGAUGGAUAAAAUUGUCAUAGUUGCCAACCUACCAGAGGACUAAGACCACAACUAGUUCUCAGAAAUUGACUAAACAGAGGACGAAUGAAUUCAUAUCGGAUCCUACCACCCGAGCCCUUUAUACGGAGCACCCAAAUAAAAAAUGAGUACCACCUUAUUUCUCAUUUUACUUCUCUAUUUUGGAAUAUCCAAUGACAUUGGAUGCGUAUGUGUUUUUUCUCUGCAAUAAUGAUUCAAAAUAUAACAGGCCAUAGAAGUCAUCACCAAUUGUCCAUGGAUUGUCAGGUACUACGCUGCCUCGAGGAAAUUCCUACUGCCUUUGGGCCCUUCCGUCUCCUCUGGGCACGUCCGGAGUUCAAGCCAGAGGAGACAGAAGGGCCCAGGAGCCAGAGAUUGUCGUCCGACGUGUGUUGUCAAAUAUGACGGCGGCGAUCGAUCAACUGCUUCGAUCUCCGCCUACCCGCUGGAAUGCCAUACAAUACGGGAACCCGCGGGAAGUAUCGCCGCCCCACGCUGGAUUCCGUUUGCAUGUACCCACCUCGUAGUUGAAAACAAACAAGCGAACAAUGACAUCAAGAAAGAAGUCGAGAGAGCAAGGCUAGACACGUGCAUCCUUUGUCUCUCUUUGCCGAUUUGUCGGUGCGGCUUCCUUACUGGCUUUUGCUAUGGCGAGUAGGGGACGAUUGAUAUUGUACCUGGGGUCAUGCCAUUGAUUCGAUUAAGACCAGACUCAUUAGCAUUCCAAAUUUCAGAUGAUUUUGUACUUUUACAGUUUUACUAUAGCUGGUUUACAAAGGAAAUAAAACAAUUUUUUAUUUAGUCCAACACAAAUUAGCCAAUAUCACCAUGUAUAUUGUCCAUGGUGACCACACAAUGGUGCAACACAUGCAGCUAGUUGGUUGCCAAUCUGCUCGCCCUGGUUAGUCUGCUAAUUAGCAGUUAUAAAGUCUUGCAUACCACUUCUUCUGGGUCGGGCGUGCAACUGUCACUGAUUCCAGUUGGGCUAACGUCUUUUUAGGAUGGGUGACCAGCUUAUGCAGGGUAUAGAACUUCAUCAUACUUGCCCACGGGCUAUGUGUCGCCACUAUCUUUUCUAGAUUGUGGCAUGCAUGUGGCAGCAAGAUCUAUCGCCACCAUGCGCCCACUAGCCACUUACCGCGAGUAAAUCAUAAUAAAAUUGGCAUGAUUUUCAUUAAAUUUUAUGGCUUGUCUUGCUCAAUAUUGUGAUAUAAAUCUAUAAUCCUGAUGUACUUGUACAUAUAUGGACAUACGUCAGAAGUAAAUGAUUGAAACACCCCCCGGGAGCCACGAGACUCCCUGAAUCCAACUUCUAUUAUUCUACAUGACUUUUGCUUGCUCAGGAAUACAUUUUUAGGCACUGUAUGCUUGAUUUGUCCCCAAUUUGUUCAUUUGUGAUUCGUGUAAAAAAAAAAUCUACUAACAUGGAGAAUGUUCAUCUAGUGGUGCCUACAUUUCUGAAGGUAGCUUAAGUUAAGCAACUACUCUUUCCGUGAUUUAUGACAUCAUCUUCAAUUUCUUAUAGAUAAGAUGGAUGGACAUGUGCUAUAUGUUUCCUACUUGUGCCAACUGCACCGUAUCCCAUGCGCCGAAACAUGACACUGCUACAACGGGAUCCUCAUACAAUCUCCCAAGUUACAAAUAAAAAAAAA